RNAcentral lists this long non-coding RNA (46646 nucleotides) under Lactuca sativa (garden lettuce). Its description in RNAcentral is "long non-coding RNA (LSAT_LNC000142)". The record is from RNAcentral. Lineage: Eukaryota; Viridiplantae; Streptophyta; Magnoliopsida; Asterales; Asteraceae.
GGGCCGGUAAUAUUUUGAAGGCAGCUAGGUAUUGAACCGGAAAGUGAGUUAUAUGAUAAAUCUAACAAACUCACGUCACUUAAUUGGCACAACUGCUUGGGAAUAGAUCCGGUAAAGUUAUUUUUUCUCAAAAGAAGAAUCCUUAAAUCGGAUAGUUCGCCAAUAAAUUUAGGAAUCCUACCUGACAAGUUGUUGUUGCCAAUGUCCAAAGUCAAAACUUCAGUCAAAUUACGAAAGAAUUUGGGUAUUGAUCCAGUGAAUCUAUUGGAACCCAAAUGAAGAUGCUUCAUAUAUUGCGAAUUGAAACAGGAUGGGAUGGGCCCAGAGAAAGAAUUUUGUGAGAUAUCGAGAAAAGAGAAUGAAGCUACUCCACAUGGAAAAAUGCCUUCAAAACUAUUAUUUCUCACCACAAGUUCAGACAACAUACUCAUGUUGCUUAUCCAAUCGGGGAUCAUACCUGUGAACAAGUUAUUGCUAAUAUCCAGAGUAAUCAGAAGAUCAUAUCCCUUGCUCUUAGUUCCAAUUUUCCCUUUGAAAUGGUUGCCAUCCAAGUAAACAUAUUGGAGGCUACUCAAGCUUAAGUUUCCUGAGAGUACCUGGCCAUGCAAACUGUUAUUUGAUAGUUUUAACAAAUUCAACUUAGAGAUGUUUGUCAACAAUCCUUUUGACACUUCUCCUGAUAACUCAUUGUUAGAUAGAUCCAGUGUCUCUAAUUCACUCAAUUCACUAAUUGAGGAUGGGAUAACACCACUUAAGCUAUUCAUGGACAAAUUCAAAUACUCUAUGUUGGGAAAGAACUCUGGUAAUUUGUCAGGAAUAGUAACUAUCAUGCCAUUUCCAGACAUAUCCAACCACUUCGUAUUAGCAUUCCUAUACAACGGCAUACUGUCAAAGGAGUUGUUCCUUAGACGAAGAACUUCCAAAUUCUUAUUGUUUUUAAUCAACCAAUUAGGAACUUGUCCCUCCAAGGAGUUGUGAGACAUGUCUACUUGCUGUAACUUGCGUUGGUGAAGUAGAAACCCAGGAAACAUUUUCAUAUUACAAUUAGAUAGCUCAAGAAUUUCCAACUGGAACAUUGGAAUCCAGCCUAUAGGCUCUUCUGUUAACACCUCAAAUAUGUCAUUAUCGCUUCUGAAUCGAACGACCUCAAGCUUUAUAUGAUUGGAGAAGGAGCUGAACAAGAACGAACCUUCAAAUUUGUUAUGACUAGAAUCAAUGUAUUCGAGAGAUGUAAGAUUAGCAAUGAGUGAUGAGACAAGUAUCCCUGAAAAUUGAUUUGAAGAAAUAUCCAACAGCUUAAGAGAUGAUAGAUUUUUCAAACACCGAGGCAGAGUUCCAUGGAGCAUGUUGUGACUAAGAUCCAACUCAUUGAGGUUCUUCAACUCACACAAGCCUGUCAAACGAGAAAAAGAAAGGUAUGUGUAAGCCAUGAAACUCAAAAGAUAAGUUACAAAAGACUAACCUUCCAAAAAUAUAUGACUUCCAUUUGCAUGGUCAAAAAGAUCAACAACUGAGGAAAGGUAAUAUUACAAAGGGAAUGCACUGAUGUAGCCCUUGAUGUUUUGGUUAUAGACGAGUGACUAAAUGAUAACAGAAUAAAAUACUACUAAUUGCUUUAAAUUGAGCAAUCUCAAUACUAAAAGCAAUUUUGCCUUCACCACUAAUAUGAACAUUGUGCAAGAGUUGCUGCCAAAUUAUAUCUCAUGAUACAAUGAAGCAAAAUAUAUAGUAUCAAGUUUUAUAUGUGCUGAAAAUUCCGUAACAGCCAUGCUAUUCGCAUUGUUGCGUUUAUAUAUUUGUUCUAAACAAUAAUCGCAACGAUCAAACGUGCCUGCUUUGAUAACUACCAUUAUUUGCAUGGUCCUACGGCUCAAAAAGAUUAACUUACCAUGCAUGCUUUAUAUAACUUACCAUGAUCCGGUAAUGAGCCAUUGAGCUGAUUGUAUGCGAAUGAGAGAGCUCUUAGGGAAGAUAAUGCUUGAAUUGUUGAUGGGAUGCUACCAACAAAACUGUUUCCACUCAAAUCUAAGACCUUUAGAUGGUGGAAAGAUGCAAAAGCUGGAUGAUAGAUAACAAGAGAGGGUUACAUAUAAACAAAUUGAAGCUAGAUAAGGUCCACCUCUGUAAUCUUUCAGCUUUGGAUGAGUUCUUAAACCAAUAUAGUUUUAAAUUAUGUAAUGACAAAAAAUCGUUACCUUCCAUUGGUAUUACUCCAUAGAAAUAAUUAUCUGUCAAGAGAAGGACUUCCAAAUCAGACAAAUUAAGGAAUUCUGAAUAAGAUAGAGAGACAUAUCAAUCAGUUUAAUUAAACAAGUAGCAAAAAUGGAAAUUAAUAAAUAAUAUUUGUAUUUAAUUUCUUUAUUGACUCUUUUUAAGAUAAACAUGCCUUGGACGGGAAAGAAACUUCCCAAUGAACAGUAAGAAAGAUCAAGAUUCUUGAGGGAUGGGAGGACACUUAGGCAUGAUAUGACGCUCUUGUUGAUGCUGUUGCUUGAAAGAUUGAUACUCUUCAGCCUUUUCAAUCUCAAUACGGUCUUACAAGCUGUAAAAUGGAAAGUAAUUCUUAGAGAAAACAUGUAAUGGUCUUGUAAAGUUUGUAAUUAUGGAAGAAUUAUGACCAAUUGGCAUUUAAAAACUUUAACUUUUCUAUUAUUCAAAACUUACCAGGUGUAACAGAAGCUUAUGAUUCAUUUACCUUGGAUAUUUGGUGUGUCAUUGAGCUGGGUAGAACUUAAAUCCAGCUCCUCCAGGUUAGUGAGAUGUGAUAAUUCUGUAAUAUGAAAGAAAAACACAUAUAUAUCAUGUAUUAUGCAUGUUAUUUUCAGAUUUGGAGCAUUAUAUGUUCAUUAGUCUUUCUACAUCAUUAUAUAUUAUAAGUAGGCAGCCUUAUUUAGAGAGUAAUUUCGGUCCAGCAAAAUAUGCUAGUUCUCUUUGACAAACUGUGCAACAUUGCAACCAGUGAUCACGGUUUAUCCCUCGUCUUCCUCAAAACCGUAAAUCCCUAAACCAAAAUCAAAACUCAAAUCCAUUCACCAAAAUCAUCACCAACUCCUGACUAAAUCAAAAACCCAAAUCCUAGGGUCUGACAAGGGUUAUGGAAAGUGAAACCUCGUAUCUUAUUCAAUUCAAAUUAAUAUUACAUCAGAUCACUUUAUAUAUAAUAGAAUAUUACAUUUAGGUACCCUCUACUUAUUAUAAAUAUAAAACACAGUCUAACAUUCCCCCGCAAGUUGAGGGCAGGAAACGACCUGCAACUUGGAUCGUAAGAAUUGGAAUCUCUGAGAGGAUAAAGGUUUUGUAAAGACAUCUGCGAUCUGAUCACUCGUAGAUAUGAAUUGAACAUUUAGUUGACCUCUUGCUACCUGUUCACGAACAAAGUGAAAAUCAACUUCAACAUGCUUAGUACGAGCAUGAAACACAGGAUUGGCUGAGAGAUAGGUAGCUCUGAGAUUGUCACACCAAAGAAUAGGAGGAGAUGUAACUGAUAUGCCAAGCUCACGCAAAAAAGCUUUCAACCAAAUCAACUCUGCAGCAGUAUCAACAAGCGCUUUGUACUCGGAUUCAGUUGAAGACCUUGAGACCGUCUUUUGUUUACGAACAGUCCAGGAGACAAGAUUUGAUCCCAGAUAGAUUGCAAAUCCCCCGGUGGAUCGACGGUCGACUGGGCAGCCAACCCAAUCAGAAUCAGAAUAGGCUUGAACAGGUGACGAGGCCAAAUCUUGCCAAUGAGCAUCUGUAAAAGCCUGUAGAGAAGAGCUUGACUGGUGGCGAAUCAAGAGACCAAGAUCAGUUGUGCCUUUCAAGUAACGCAAGAUACGUUUAACAGCAGACCAAUGGUUUUCUGUUGGAGCAUGCAUAAACUGACACACCCGGUUGACAGCAAAAGCAAUAUCCGGACGUGAUAAGGUGACAUACUGUAAGGCUCCAACUGUUUGACGAUAUGUAGUAGGAUCCAAUAGAGGAGAGCUAUCAUCAGUAGUCAUUGACUGAGAGGAACUUAUCGGAGAGCAAGCUGGCUUGCAAUCAGAGAGACCGGACCGUUGAAGGAUCUCAAGAAUAUAUUUCCUUUGAGAUAGCACAAUGUUUUGCUGAUGAUGAACAACUUCGAUGCCCAAGAAAUAAUGAAGUGGACCAAGAUCUUUAAUGGCAAAACUGGAGUUUAGACGAUUGAUAAUGCUACUUAUAGCUGCUUGGUUGUUACCGGUGAUGAUAAUAUCAUCCACAUAAACGAGGACAUAAGCAAGAGUACCACCAGAAUUGAGAAUAAACAGAGAUGGAUCAAUUUUGGAUCCUAAAAAACCAAGUUGAAGUAGAACUGUGGAUAGCCGAGUAAACCAUGCCCGUGGGGCUUGUUUGAGCCCAUAGAGAGACUUGUGCAGAAGACAAACAUGGUCUGGUUUGGUUGGAUCAACGAAGCCAGGAAGCUGUUUCAUGUAAACUGUUUCUUGUAAGUCACCAUGUAGAAAUGCAUUUUUCACGUUUAAUUGGUGUACAUCCCAUUUGUUGGCCACGACAAGAGACAGAAUAACCCAAAUGGUCGUUGAUUUGAUGACAGGGCUAAAUGUCUCAUGAUAGUCAACUCCCGGUUGUUGAUGAAAGCCCUUGGCAACAAGGCGUGCUUUGUAACGAGUGACAUUUCCCUGUGGAUCCGUCUUUACCCUGUAUACCCACUUACAAUCAACGAGGUUAGUAUUUUUAACAUAAGGAACUAGAGACCAUGUGCCAUUAUUUUGAAGUGCUUGAAACUCCUCAUUCAUGGCAAGACGCCACUCCGGCGAUUUGUUAGCAACGGUAAACGAAGUGGGUUCGCUUAAUGAAGGGGAAACACGAGUAGAGGUGUAAGUAGAUGGAUCAAAUGGAAUUUUACGUUUGGGAUUUUGACGCAAAUUAGGGGGCCGAGACCUAGGAGGAGGAGGAGGAGGAGGUGGGGAUUGUGAUGUAGGGGCAGUAGGUAAAGGAGUGGGAGAGGGUGAUGGAUCAGUGGAGAUGAGAUCAGGAACCACUAUGGAGGUGGUGUGGGAAAGACAGUAAUAUAGGGAUUACGUGAGGGGGUGGUCGGUGGUGGAGGAGAGUAAAAAAGGAAAACAGUUUCGUUGAAACGAACAUGUCGAGCAAUGUAUAUGCGUUCCGUUUGGGGAUCAAAACAACGAUAGCCAUGAUGUAUAGGGCUAUAACCAAGGAACACACACGGAGUAGAACGAAAAUCAAGCUUGUGGCGGUUAUAGGGACGAAGAUAGGGAAAACAUUGACAACCGAAAACAUGAAGAAAUGAAUAAUCAGGUUUUCGGUUGUAAACUUGUUGAAAAGGGGAUUGAUUUGAUGAAAUCCUGGAUGGGAGCCGAUUUAUAAGGUAAACAGCAGUUUCAAAGGCAAACUGCCAAAAGCGUUGUGGGAGAUGGGAUUGGGCAAGAAGGGAAAGACCAGUUUCAACAACAUGGCGAUGACGACGCUCAACAAUCCCAUUUUGUUCACUAGUAUGAGGACAGGAGCGUCGAUGAAUGAUGCCAAGAUUUGUGAAGAAUGAUGCCAAGAUUUGUUAGAGCUAAUAGGAUUUAGUUGAUAUCCUAACUGAGAGGCUAACAAACUUAAGCUGUUAAGUUGAGACUGAAUGGUUGUGAUAUCAGGUAAGGAAUCAGAUGGAGUUCCUCCGGUAGCAGCAACAAACACUUGUGGCUAGGCAGUAACAGGAACCGUGGCUGAUCUGUUGAUCAUGUAAUCGUGAUCAGAUAAAAUACCAUGCAGGUCGCUGAAGGUGCUCGGUGGAUGGUGGGCCAGAAGAUUCGAUUUUAAACCGUUGUAUUCAUCUCGCAAGCCUGAGAUUGUAAGCAUAACCAGAUCUUUGUCCUUCAUGGGUUCACCAAUAUUAGCAAAGGCAGAGGCAUAUUCCAUUGCUCAGCUAAGAUAUGUCAGUGGAGGUUCAUCACUUUUCAUCUCUAUGCGAAGUAACUGUGUUUUUAAGGUGUAUUCACGGGAAGCAGAGUUUGGUGCAUACGCACGUUCUAAUGAAAGCCACAAAUCUCUAGAGGUCGUACCUUGAACAUGUUGGAAAGAUGCUUUAGAGAUGGUAGAUAGAAUUAUCAUUCUUACAUGUGCAUCAUUGGAAACCCAACGAGGAUAACUAGGGUUAUCAGUUGUUGCAUCUGUUGUGGUAAUUUUCUGUUCUGGACAUUUGAUGGUACCAUCCAUAUAACCGAUCAAGUGAUUAGUGAUUAGGAAUGGUUCUAGCAUUGCCUUCCAGAAACCAUAGUUGGUAGGAGAAAGAGUGAAUGCAAAUUUGUGGGUAUUGUGGGCGGUUAGCCAUGUUUAGAUUGGAAGAGAAAUUGAGAUGGUGGAGAAGAUGUCGCCGAUUUAGGGUUGGAGGCGGCAGAGGGAACUUGGCUCUGAUACCAAGUGAAACCUCGUAUCUUAUUCAAUUCAAAUUGAUAUUACAUCAGAUCACUUUAUAUAUAAUAGAAUAUUACAUUUAGGUACCCUCUACCUAUUAUAAAUAUAAAACACAGUCUAACAUGGAAGUGGAUCUCAUGCUAUGGUGGUAGUGUUGGAGGUGGGUAAUAAAUAACAAAAAAAUAAAAUGGUAAUCCGUUAACCAGAUCACUACCAUCAUGGAUUGUAUAAAUUGGUCUUAUUAUGAAACGUUGGUACAUAAGUACAAAUGGUAGGUAAAUUGUAAACAAAAUGAAAUCGAUUAAAUUCAUUUGAUUUGAAAAUUAUACUCUUACUACUUUAAAAGGAACUAUAUACAUGUAUAAGUACAAAUGUAAGGUAAUAAAAAAUGUACAGUCAUAGCACGUACCUUGAGCUGGAAAUGGUCCUGACAUUGAAUUGUCGCUAAGAUCCAAGCUUGUAAGCGAUGAAAGGGUAUUUAAAGAUCUUAUGAUGCUUUCGUUAAAGCGGUUGUGUGCAAGAUUUAAAGUUUUCAACUUCCUCAAUAUGGAAACCCUCUCAGAACCUACAUUUAUGGAUUGAAGCAAUUGGAUUUAUAAGCUCUAGUUCCAUAAAACAACAAAGUUGUUUAAGAGAACAUAUACAAGCAUAUAUUUAUAUCCAAAAAUAUAAUACUGUUAAGCUUUAGUUAAAAAAAAAAAACUAAGUCCUCGUUGCAAGUUUUCUUUGUCCCAAGAAAAGAAAAGGGUCAUAUUUCAAACUUCAACACAUGAAAUAGUCAUUCUGCUAUAUAUGGUCCUGUAAUCUUGCAAAAGGGGGGUUCGUGUAAAAUCCAAGGCGGCUAUAUUGGCAUGGUGGUUUUAUGAUGAUAUUGAUUUACCUUGAAUCUCAAAGGUACCAUUGAAGCCACAGUGGCUUAGAUCCAACAUCUCCAAGUUCUCUAAAGCAGCAAAUUCUUCAAUUCAUUUGAAAAGGGUGUAAGUAUCUUUAAAACACGCAUUUGUGGUGCAUGAUAACGUUUAAAAAAAAAAAAAGGUGCUACUGCUAGGAAAUUAUCUAUUCAAGCUAGUGUGACUAACAUCCAAGAUUUCGACUGAAGUGAGUGUCCUCAAUCUCAAUGAUGGAGUUAGCUGGGGUCUAUCCAACUCCAAAGCACCUUUUCCAUUAAUUGUAUCUAGUUAGACCUACGAUUGCAGCCAUUACAUGUUUACACCAACAUUUUACAUUAAAAUUAAAGAUGUAGGCAGGCCCUGUCCCCUGCCUGAAGAUAGAAGGACUACUUCCAUAGAAACAAAAGACGUGAGCCCACACCGGAUUAUCUCCUUGGCCCACAGGAUAAUAUUUCUGUCUACUGUUAGAUUAAUAAAUAAUCAUUACAAUCCCAUACGCAUCACAUAUACACUGAGACAUGUAUACUCAGUUUCUUGGACUUUAUUGCUCUUUUUCCAAAAAAUUACAUAUCAUACCACUAGCUAUUUGAAACAUAAACAAAAGCCCCCAUAUAGACAUGACAACAUCCACAAACACUACAUAAAUAUAUGAUGGUUGUCUCAUUGUUAACUAAACUAAUGCAACUGAAAGACUUGUAAUGAGUGAAGAUCACAUAUAGACAUGACAACAUCCACAAACACUACAUAAAUAUAUGAUGGUUUACUGCUAUGAACUCACGCAAUCAAUCAACGAUUCAAUAAACACUCAAAGAUGAAGUAAGAAAAGAUAAUCAAAAUCAGUACUCAAAUACUUUCAUAAGAUUGAAAAUAAGGGUUCAUGGCAAUUCGAGAGUGCCAGAUCUCUCCCAAAAGGUACAAUAACCUGAUUUCACCAAAAAUAUGAUAUUCUCCUCUCCCACUAUUUGCUAAAUACUGCUCUGAUAGAAAUAAAACCUAAAUUGCCUAAAUUACUCUUUCCACUAUUAAAGAUGCCAUUAUCAGUUUAUUGAUUUUCCAUAACUACCCUUACUAGAAUAUAUGAGGUGUAGCAUUUACUUGUGUCUAAAAAUGAUACUCCAACAACUUUGGAAAGAACUAUAUACAGGAAUAGCACAUACCUUGAGCUGGAAAUGGUCCUGACAUUAGACUGUGGCUAAGAUCCAAGCUUGUGAGCGAUGAAAGGGUAUUUAAAGAUCUUAUGAUGCUUUCGUUAAAUCUGUUGCCCGCAAGAUUUAAAGUUUUCAACUUCCUCAAUACGGAAACCCUCUCAGAACCUACAUUUAUGAAUUGAAGCAAUCGGAUUUAUAUAUGGUCUUGUAAUGUAGAGAAAGGGGGGAUUUGUGCAUUAAUCCUAGGCGACUAUAUUGGCAAGAUUGUUUUAUGAUGAUAUUGAUUACCUUGAACCUCAAAGGUACCAUUGAAGCCACAGCUGCUUAGAUCCAACAUCUCCAAGUUCUCUAAAGCAGCAAAUUCUGCAAAUCAUUUGAAAAGGGUGCAAGUAACUUUAAAACAAGCAUUUGUGGUGCAUGAUAACUUAAAGAAGGAAUGAAAAGAAGAAAACAUGCCACUGAUUGGAAAGUUUCCAUUCAAGCUAGUGAAGCUAAGAUCCAAGACUUUGAGUGAAGUGAGUGUCCUCAAUGAUGGAAGGAUGCCGUUGUCAAUAUCAUAAUUCCAACUGAGGUCUAGUACCUCCAACUUCUUCAAACUCGACAGCCUUUCAAGUCCUGCAAAAGAGAAUUCUUUAACACAAACAUCCUAGUCUUAAAUAUUAAAAAGAUGUAGUAUGAAUUGCAAGAUCUGAAGUACACAUAAAGUCUUGUAUUUGGUCUUUUAUACUAUAUAGAAAAGUAUUAUCCAACUACUAAUUACCUAAGAAGAGUCUUUGAGUGCAUAAAUAAUAAAUUAGUUGGAUGUUGUGUUCAUGGAUUUGAACAGAUCAACUUACUCGAAUGUUUUACUAAAAAAAUAUGAUGUUGGAACCAUGUGAAAGAAAUACUAAUUAAAGGAAUUAAUCGCGUUGUACGUACCUGUCUUAAUAAACUCUUUAUCAAGAAAAUUAUCUGACAAAUUGAGACUUGUCAACUCUUUAAAAUGAAGAAACAAGGAAACAUUCAAUGGCCACAACUUGUUCUCAUCAUCCAUGUAAACAUCUUUUGCCCCUCUUAAAUUGUACAAAGAGAGUUCUGUCACAUGCCCUGUUGUUGUGCUGCAGUUGAUCCUCUCCCAAUCACAACAGUUGUUGCCACCAUCACCAGGUGUACCACUGCCAUAAUCAACCCAGGUAGGGAGAAAUUUGUCAAUUUCAGAAUCAUAUGACUUCAUAUGGGAGGCUUUGAUUUCCAGUAGUGCCUUUCUCUCCUCUUCUACACAAUCCCCUUGUGUAUGCCCAGCCACUAGAAUAUGUAUCAUCAUUAACAUCAACAAUGAAUAUUGCAAUGAUUUCCGCUUACUACAAGCCCAACAUUCCAUUUUAGUAGCAAAUGGUGGCUUUGUAGAGACACUCACAACAUUAAACUUCCGGAUAGAUUUGGUUGCUUAGCUUUGCUUGGUAAACAUUUGAUAUAUGAUGAAAUGAAUAUGUAUGAACGCUCAAAAUUUCCACACAUAAGUCAUCAAGUCAAUGCUCAAAAUUUCCACACAUAAGUCAUCAAGUCAAUGGUAAAAAUUCAACACAAAACUCUAUUCCAUCUAUUCCAAUAUUCCAUUGUCACCCACUCCUUCAACUAAACAUUUAAGACAUGGCAUUUGUUGACUUUUCAACAAACUUCCAAAGUCUCCAUCCACAUAGAAUAUAAUAGGUUUAUUAAUUUUUUUUUGCGCAAUUACUUUAGAAAAACGAAAUAUUUAUUAACUAAAAGAAAACAAAACCCAGAUAUCAUACCUUUGUUUACUGGUAAUGACCAGACUCGCAAACCUCCUUGCGAUUUCCACGGAUGGAUUUUAUCAAUUUCUGGUAAACAGCCAAUUGAGAGCCAUUGCUAGAGAUCACAGUAGCCGACAUUGAAACCUGCUUCAGUGAAUUUGAAAUUGCAAUAACCAUAACAUGAUGAGUAGGCCUUUCCCCCACUAAGUAAUUGUUAUGUGUCCAUUGUUUGGAUGGGAUAAUUACUUAGUGGUCUAUUUUAAUUAUUGCUUUUUUUUCCUGUUUACUAAGAAGUUAGGAUUGUGCUAGAAUAAAGGGCAAAGACCUUUUGUUGGGAAUAUAGCAGAAAAUUGCUCCAAAACCUUCUCUCUUAACUUCCUCUGUUUCUUUCUCACUGUCAUUCCGAUCGAUCCACAUCAAUAAUCAUUUUCACCACCACUCACCGACGACGUUGAUGGUACAGGGUCUCGGCCCUCGAUUUAGAGGGGUGUGUGGCAGUGGUUAGAGAGUGAAGGCAGGGGCGAGAUGGGGUUGUCAUAGUGGGUUCGUUAAACGGGACUUUGUCAACGGAAGGGGCCAGAGCCCGGAGGAUAGACAGAGGGGUUGGGGAUUUUAAAGGGAAAGGGAAAUGGGAACGGGAAAGCUAGUUUUGAUGGAGCCGUAAAAAUCAAGUGUUACCAUUAUUUUUUAAAAAUAAAAUAUUUAAGUUACGAACAAAAUAUAUUAUAAAAAAAUAUAAUAAACUUUUGUUUUUUGAUUUUUAUAUGUUGUAUAUGUGUAUAUUUUAAUUUUUAUAAUUUUAGUCUAUAUUCUAAAUUUUGUUAUGAAUUUUGGUCCGAAAUUUUUUUGAAAUUAUUUUUCUUUUACGAAAUUAUAUACUUAUUAUUUUUUUUUUUUAAAACUUUUUAAAGGCAUUUUUGAAAUUUUUAUACACUAUUUUGAAUUCUUUUACAACCUUUUAAAACUUGUAUUAUAAUCUCUUUUUAAAUUUUUCUUUACACUUCUAUGUAACGUUUUUAUAGUCUUUAUUGUCUUUUAAACUUGAACUACAAUUUUUAAAAAUAUCUUUCUUAUACAUUUGUACAAUUAUUUCGAAGUUUUUCACUCACAAUUUAUGUUGUGUAAUGUAUUUUUUAUUACACUUUUGUUAAAAAGAUGUUUUAAACAAGUUUUUUAAAAAAGAACAAUAAAAAAGUUUUAAACAAAUUUUUUACAAAAGAAAAUUUUUAAAUUUGUAAAAUAAUUGUUAUAGAAUGCAACAAGUUCAAACAUUAGUGCAACGUCCCAAAAAUUCAUAGUAAUUAUUUUUUUGUUUUGUUUUUUAAAAGAUAAACCAUACAAACAAGUUGUUCCAAGACCAAUCAAAGUGAAUAUAUUAUUUAAACAUUAGAGUAAAAAAUCACAAAUAGUCACUGCGAAAACUCUAGGGAUGAUGUGCAGUCAGGCCGGACAUUUCCCUUUCGUACCGAAAGUACCUGAAACCAUAAACAUAAAACUGUAAGUACAAAGCUUAGUGAGUUCCCCAAAAUAUCACAUAUCAUACAUACAAUAGAGAUUGAUAUGUGUCAUCCAUAGUCUCAUAAUUGUCAUUAUGCCAUGAGCUGUAACAUGGUCUUUCCUUGCCAAGCCGGGGCAAAAACCCGAGUCUUAUAGGCAAGUGCCAAGAGCCACAUCUUGGUUUUCCAUGCAUGUAUCACAAAGACAACUAGCAUACUACAUAUAACUACCAGGAGUCCAAAUCCUGGUCUUGCAUACAAUUUGCCGGGAGCCACCUCCAAGUCUUUCAUACAAUUUGCAGGGGCCACCCUAGUCUUCCUAUGUAACAUAUAUCAAUGGGUCGGCAAUGGUGUCUUUGACCCCCAAGUAUAUUGAGGAGACUCACCUGAACCACAAAGCCGACUAAAAACCCAACUCAACGUCGCAUCGACCGCAACUAACAACUCACCGCCAAAAGAUGGGUGUUGAACACCUCGUAUCAAUCCACACAUGGUAAACCCUAAGUUUACCUUCUAAAAAUAGAAAUUUGUGAUGGGUUUGAGCCAUAAGAACUUUCCUAUGUGCACAUGCAAACCCUAAUGCUUGGAUCUAGGUUUCUCUAAUUGAACAUGCAAUGUAUCCAAGACUUCUAUUGAUAGAUCUAGUAUAAACAUUCAAAUCAUAACAUAAGAAAACAGAUCUAAAGGAGUACCUUGAGUUGCUUGCUUGAAUCUUCUUGUCUUUGGAGCUUAGAGUCACAAUUGUCACUCCUCUAAUGGCUUACAAACACUAACUAGCAAGAGGAUGAUGAUAGAGAGAGAGAGAGAGAGGAGGGUGAGAAAAUCGGCUCUAGGGUUUCUUGGGAUACAAGAGUGCCGAUUUCCUCCACCCAAAGGGUCUAUAUAUACUAUUGGCUACUAGGGUUACGUCCUCACAAGACCUAGGCUCUGAUACCAAGUGUUGGAUUCAACUUUGAUGAAUCCCCUGUUAUGAACAAGGAAGAAGAACGACAAACAAAGGAAUCAAAGAAACUUGGAAAUUUCCUUAGGCUGCUAGUAUAUUUCUUAUUAAGGCAGAAAAAUGAAUUAUAAAACUUCAAUUACAUAUCCCUACUUAUACUAAACAAAACAAGAGUUUGACUCUAAUACAAAAACUUUGAAAGAAAGUAAAAAACAAAACUUUCCAAAAAUACCCCUACACAUAAUAUCCGAUUAACCCAACAAUCGUGUGCAAACCUUCUCCAAGAGCUGUGGGGUCCAGCGGGUUUGUUUCAGCCAAAUGUGUUGAUUGUUGUUGGGCCUGGUGUGGUUGAUGAGUUGAACGAUCAGGUCUAUACUACUGCUGAUAUAGGUGUCCGUAAUUCCAUGGGUAGGACCAACCUUGCUGAGUAGGAAAAAGACAUGGUGGUGGAGAGUAUGCAACCCAAUACGGGUAUGGGGCAUUACCCAGAGGUGCACCUGGAGGUCUGGUGCUGUGAUUACCAAAAGGAGCACCGCGACCACAAGUGUUGUUUCCGCCAUGACCACGGUUACUAUGUUUAUAGGGCGGCCAUUUUGGUUUAAUCAGGGUCGGUGAUUAUGGUUUGGAGGAGUUGGUUCAUCAGCUAUGGCGGUGUGUGUAGCAAUAAGGGCUCCACCAGAAGAGUUUAUGGUUGUGUUAUUGCUCUCUCGACUGGAUUGGAGAUGUUGUUCAAGUUGAAGCAUGCUACAUGCCAUUUCCCAUGUUGGCAGGCUUUGGUUGAUAAAAAAGCCACAAUAUCAAAUUCAGAGGGUAAGCCAUGUACCAGUUGAAGUACAAGACGAUUUUCUGUUACCAGACUUUCAACAUCGUCGAGUUGCGAGGCCAAAUCCUUAGGCAUUGACAGUAGUCUUCCAAUGAUGACAUGGUUGAGAGUUUGAGGUUGUUGAACUCAUGUUCCAAAGCUGUUGCAUGAGAUCCCUUAUUGUUGAGGAAGAUUGAUGAUAAUUUCUUCCAUGAUUCAUAUGUUGUGGUGUCGGGUUCCAAUAUACGAACCAGAAGAUUAUCAGAAAGUGCACCGUAUAUCCACUGGAGAACAAUAGUAUCAAUUUCAGACCAUGAUUCGUAUGUCGCAUUGUUAAGAAUAAUUCUGAAUUAUUGUGUUAUGCACAUUUUAUUUGAUGUUUGAAUAAAUCAAAGUUCCAAUGAGUGUGUUCCUGGUCUUUGGCAACUAGUCAAGUUAGUUCCUGUUUUUCAGCUAUGCUUUAAUAUAAGUAGAGAGGCAAAUGUACGUUGAAUGUAUUCCUAGUUUUAAUUACUUUUGUUCAGUGAAUAAAGUAGAAUACUUUGCCUCAUAUUGUUCCCUGUGUUUUCACUUGUCUUUUUUGUGUAUUCCUUCACUGUGCAGUUUUUUAAAGCUGUUUUUUCCAGAUUUGCCCUUCCCUGCUCCUUAUCAAAUUUGUCCCCUGUGCAGCUUCUCCUUUUGUUGUGUUACUUCCCAUUUUGGUAAUAAAAGACUUUAUUACCCCUGCUAUUUACCAACACUUGGUAUCAGAGCAAAGGCUGGUUGUUGUAUGCCAAAGUACCAAACUCGUGAAGAGAUGGCAGGAAGCAAUGGAAAUGGGGAAAAAGAGAGUCCAAUCACCUUUCACUACCCGAUGCUGUCAAGAAGCAACUAUUCUGCAUGGGCUAUAAAGAUGAGAGUUUUCAUGCAAGCCCAAGGAGUCUGGGAGGCAGUGGAACCCAGAACGGCCAACACAGCUGUGGAGAUCAAGAAAGACAAGUUGUCAUUGGCUGCUAUUUACCAAGGGAUUCCCGAGGACCUGUUGUUGUCCUUGUCUGAGAAGAAGACAACUAAGGAAGCAUGGGAUGCUUUGAAGGUGAUGUUCCUAGGAGCAGAUCGUGUCAAGACAGCAAGGAUUCAAACAUUGAAAGCUGAGUUUGAAUCCUUAAACAUGAAGGAAUCAGAAGGGGUCGAUGACUUUGCUGCCAAAAUAAGCAACUUAGUAAGUUCUUUGCGUACAUUGGGGGACACAGUGAAUGAGUCCCAUGUAGUGAAGAAGAUGCUUAGGGCAGUAUCCACUAAGUUUCUCCAAAUUGCUUCAACUCUUGAACAAUUUGGGGACCUGGAAACACUGACAACUGAAGAAGUCAUUGGGAGGCUGAAGGCUCAUGAAGAAAGACUGAAAGGACAUGGUGAAAGUGAAGAAAGAAAGCUUCUCUUAACCCACCAAGAGUGGACUGAGAGAAACAAGAAGAAAGGAGAAGGCAGUUCAAGGUCAACCCCAAAAGGAAAUUGUGGUGGGUCAUCACAGGGAAGAGGAAGAGGCCGAAGCAGGGGUGGUCCUAGUGGUGGUCGAGGUGGUCGAGGCAGAGGUGGUUCUAACCAGCAAAAAGAAAGAAGCCACAGACAAGAUAAAAGUGAAGUCCAAUGUUACAACUGCCAAGAGCUCGAGCACUAUGCAGCCGAGUGCAAGAACCCAAAGAAAGAAAGGAAUCACGAAAGCAAUUUGAUCUAGGAAGACAAUGAGCUAGCUUUGUUGUUGUUAUCCUUUGAAGCCAAAGAAGAGACAGGGUAAGUGUUCUUGAAUGAAGAAAAAGUCAUCCCCAAGCUAAGAUCAAAUGGUGAUGUUGCAAGUAACUCAAACAUGUGGUAUCUGGACACAGGAGCCAGCAACCACAUGACUGGAGAGAGAAGCAAAUUCCAAGAGUUGGACACCACAAUCUAGGGCUCUGUCAAGUUCGGUAACAACUCAAAAGUCAGAAUUAAAAGAAGGGGUAUGAUCAGUUUCCAAUGCAAAAAUGGUGAGCAAAGGAAACUAAGAGAGGUAUACUAUAUACCUGAGUUGUGUAGUAAUAUUAUAAGCCUUGGCCAACUCUCAGAAGGUGGAGAUGAAAUUAGAAUCAAGGAGAAUUUCUUGAGAAUAUAUGACUCCAGGAUGAGGCUACUCAUGAAGGUUCAGAGAUCACCAAACAGGCUCUACAAAAUCGAGCUCACAGAGGUCACUCCAAGAUGUCUUGUAGCUGAAAUAAAUGACCCAACCUGGUUAUGGCACACUAGGUUAGGUCACUUGAACUUCACUGCCUUGAAGAUGAUGUCAGAUAAAGGGAUUAUAGAAGGAGUGUCUAAAAUAAUUGUACCAUCCCACCCAUGUGAAGGCUGCCUGGGUGGAAAACAAACAAGAAAUCCAUACCCAUCGUGUACAACUUUCAGAGCCAAGAAGAAAUUAGAGCUGAUUCAAGAAGAUUUGUGUGGCCCUGUGUCACCUCCUACACCAGCAGGAAACAAGUACUUCAUGCUCCUGGUUGAUGACUACAACAGGGUGAUGUGGGUAUACCUGCUAAGAACGAAGGAUGAAGCUCUCUAGUCAUUCAAAAAGUUUUAGAGCAAAAGUGGAAAACGAGACCGGAGAGAAGAUUAAAGUCUUGCGAUCAGAUAGAGGAGGAGAAUUCUUGUCCAACCAAUUUACCAAUUAUUGCAGUGAAACAAGGAUCGGUAGACAAUACACCUCCCCAUACUCCCCACAAAAAAACGGGGUGGUGGAGAGGCAUAAUCGCACGGUGGUUGAAAUGGUAAGAAGUAAUCUAAUAACCAUGAAGCUUCCACACACGCUAUGGGGAGAGGCUGUGAGUCACGCCAUUUACGUAUUAAAUAGAAUAAGUACGAAGGCCUUGAAUGAUUCCACACCCUACGAGAUGUGGACUGGUCGCAAACCUCAUGUAGGCCACUUGAGGGUGUUCGUUUGCCUUGCACACGUAAUGAUUCCCAAGAAUCAGUUGAAGAAAUUGGACGAGAGAAGUAAGCGAGCAGUAUAUCAGCGGAAUGAAAAGGGAACAAAGGCUUACAUGCUUUUUGAUACUGUCACUAGGACAAUUCACGUUAGUAGAAACGUUGUGUUCCAAGAAGAUAAGGCGUGGAUGUGGGAGAAGGAAUCGAGAGUCAAUGGUACACCUGGAUUAAGCUUCACCGUUGAAGGAUUUGACUUCAACCGUGAGGGUAUCGAUGAUCUUGAAGGCACCAGAUCUAUUCAUGGGUCUACCCCAUCUACACCCGAUACUCACAUAUCCUCCGUCAAUAUGGACUGGACCAGAAGUGUAUCCCAACCCAAUACUGAUUCGGACCCUCAAAUAAGCCCACAAGGAAGUCAGUCAAACAACACGACUCCAUUAAACCCUCCGAUAACACCAAAUUCGUCCAAUUCACCAAGUUCGACUGGUGGAGGUGCUCCCAAAAGGUUUCGUUUGCUCACGGACCUCUAUGAAAAUACCGAAGAAAUCGAGCUGCCACCGGAGGAACUGAUGUUAAUGUGCAACGAUGACUAACCUGGGAGCUACAGUGAAGUGAUUCGAAAGAAAGAGUGGGUAGAAGCGAUGAACACUGAGAUAGCUUCAAUUGAGAAGAAUAAGACUUGGAGCUCAGUCGAACUCCUAGAAGGAAGGAAGCCAAUCGGAUUAAAAUGGGUUUUUAAGGUGAAACGUGACCCAACAGGAAGGACUAUGAAGCACAAAGCAAGAAUCGUGGCAAAGGGCUACGUUCAAAAACAGGGCAUCGAUUAUGAAGAAGUCUUUGCGCCAGUAGCGAGAAUUGAAAUAGUCCGGGUCAUUUUAUCACUUGCAGGCUCGAAUGGUUGGCAUGUACACCACCUAGACGUGAAAUCUGCGUUCUUGAACGGGCACCUAACUAAAGAAGUCUAUGUCACACAACCUCAAGGAUUCGAGAAGAAGGAUGAAUUUGGCAAAGUGUAUAAACUCUACAAAGCCCUGUAUGGCUUGAAACAAGCUCCCAGAGCUUGGCAUUGGUGUUUAGACAAGUACUUAAAGAGUUUGGGUUUUAAAAGGUGUGGUCAAGAAUAUUCAGUGUACAUAAGGUCAAAGAAUGGGAAUAAGUUAAUCAUUGGAGUAUAUGUAGAUGAUCUACUUGUGACAGGAAGCAACCCAGAAGAUGUGAAGGACUUUAAAAAAGAAAUGAAGAUCAGGUUCGAGAUGAGUGAUCUCGGCCUGUUAACAUAUUAUCUUGGAAUUGAGCUGAAUCAACAAGGUAAUGGAAUCACUCUGAAGCUGGAAGCUUAUGCCAAGAAUAUUUUGCUCAAAACCCGGAUGUUAGACAGCAAUCCCACCAAGAGCCCGAUGGAACAAAAACUCUCUUUGACCAAAGAUGGUGAUGAAGAGCUGGUGAACCCAACAGAAUACAGGAGCAUUGUUGGCUGCCUAAGGUAUCUUACUCACACUAGACCCGAUAUUACUUUUGCAGUUGGUGUUGUUAGUCGUUUUAUGGAAAAUCCCUAUAUAAAACAUCUCCAAGCUGUAAAGGGAAUCCUCAAAUAUGUGAAAGGGACCUUGAACUAUGGUCUAGUCUAUUCUAAAGGAGGUGAACAGGUCACUAUCUCAGGCUUUACAGAUAGUGACUUGGCCAAAGAUAUUAAUGACAAGAGAAGUACAUGGGGAAUGACUUUUUAUGUGAAUGGAAACUUGGUCACAUGGGCAUCUCAAAAGCAAAGGGUCGUGGCUCUCUCAUCUUGUGAGGCAGAAUUCAUUGCUGCCACCAUGGCAACUUGUUAGGGCAUAUGGCUAAGGAGACUUCUCACAGAAAUCACAGGACAAAAAGUACCACCUGUGACAUUGUUUGUAGACAACCAAUCAGCACUUGACCUGAUGAAAAACCCUGUAUUUCAUGGUAGGAGCAAACAUAUUGACAUCCGGUAUCAUUUUAUCAGAGAGUGUGUUGAAGAUGGAGAAAUUAUUGUUACUCAUGUGUGUGGGAAAAGCCAGAAAGCAGACAUUCUCACAAAGUCCCUAGCAAGAGUGAAGCAUGAAGAGAUGAGGGACUUAAUUGGAGUGAAGAAGGUUCAGAAUUAAGGGGGAAAAUGUUAAGAAUAAUUCUGAAUUAUUGUGUUAUGCACGUUUUAUUUGAUGUUUGAAUAAAUCAAAGUUCCAGUGAGUGUGUUCCUGGUCUUUGUCAACUAGUCAAGUUAGUUCCUAUUUUUCAGCUAUGCUUUAGUAUAAGUAGAGAGGCAAAUGUAUGUUGAAUGUAUUCCCAUUUUUAAUUAUUUUGUUCAGUGAAUAAAGUAGAAUACUUUGCCUCAUAUUGUUCCCUGUGUUUUCACUUGUCUUUUCUGUGUAUUCCUUCAUUGUGCAGUUUUUUAAAGCUGUUUUUUCCAGAUUUUCCCUUCCCUGCUCCUUAUCAAUUUUGUUCCCUGUGCAGCUUCUCCUUUUGCUGUGUUACUUCCCAUUUUGGUAAUAAAAGACUUUAUUACCCCUGCUAUAUACCAACACGCAUAACUGACUUUGGGUGCUGCACUUCCGUCAAUGUGAUGCAGAACUUUGUAUCUUUUUCAUGAAGCUUGAAUAACUUCACCCAAGAAGAAUAGGUAACCUUGAUGCCAUCAAGUAUUUAGACCUUAUGUUGGAUAUUGGUGACAGUGUACACCGGGUGAAGUGUUGGCUUUGUGCUACUUUCUGGUUGUUCUAUGGUCGACAUAUCUGUUGUGACAGGGGAUGCCGCCGGUAGUGAUUUUUAGGGUUUUGAGCCUUAGCUCUGAUACCAUAAAGGUUUAUGAUAAUCACUUGCAGAUCUUGUUCGUUGAUACAAGUAUAUAUACAAAUACAAGAACCGAAUCCUUAUAAUAAGGAAAGAAUCAAAUACAAUAAUCUAAAUAUAUACACUAUUUUUUAUUGAUUAAUAUAGUAAUGAUGGCUACAUACCUUCCAUGCAAUGCGAAAUACUAUACAUAAACUUGUGUGCAUCUACCAAAAUCGUAUUUUUAUGAAUGACUUUAAUAUAAAGUACACUGAGGAAUGACUAAAGACUUUAAUGGUUACUCAAAAUUACUAUUGAUGACUUAUCACGAAGACCAAAAAAAACUAUUGAUGACAUAUGAGAAAGACUCAAAAUUACUAUUGAUGACAUUUAAUGACUAACGCCUAAAGAGUUAUACAAUGUAUUUACAAAUGUUUCUUAUUACCCAAAAGUAACUCUUUGUACAUUACUCAUAAUGAUUUUAAUGAUAUUUCCAGGGUUCAUAUUUAUUUGAGAAUGUGCCAAUUUUUUGAAUUUUCAAGAUGUUGAACCCUUGAACCCUUUAUAGUUUGAUUUCAUUAUUUUCCUUGCGGUGGGAGCCUAGUGGUUGAGGUACGUAAUUCCAAACAGAAGGUCUACAGUUCAAACCAUGACACAUUUGAAAUAUUACUAGUGUUCCGUAAUUGAUUUCCCACAUUGGCCUUGGGGCAGAUUUACGUGGGCCGCUCAAAUGGUGUUGUUUACCUUUUUUUUUCACGAUGUUGAACUCCGGUGCUACUCACUAGGCUUCUCGAGCCUAACGUAUGUAUUUUGACAGAUUGAAGACUAUAGAGGAGGGUUGGAUAUUUAGAAGGCCACAAUUGAUGUAGUUCUUACUUGAGACUUAUGUGAUAUUAUCUUGAACACGCUCGUACUCUUAAACUUUUAGAUUGUAAACCUUAUUAAAAAAACUAAGACUGGGAUCAUUUUACGAAAAGGAUGAUUUUAAGAAUGUAAAAUGAUUUUAGACAGUUAAGCGUUAUGAGUGGUGUAUGCAUGCUUGUGAGGUACGGUGGGGUGAGAUUUUAUUUUUUAAUUUUUAGUUAUAAAAGUAUUAAAAAAUGUAAAAUAAAAAAAAAACAAAUUAAAAGGGUAUCAACAGAUUCAUUUGUAGUAAUUUACUUUAAUAUGUACCAAGUAACUUUAGACUGUAUUCUCAUAUAUAAUCAUAGGAGGCCACCACAGCAACAUUUUCAAAGAGGUGAUAAAGUGGAAGGCAAGUGCAGUUGUGUUCUCUCUUGUGCAAAUACUGGUUUUGAGGUCAUGGAUUCCUACUAACGAGUAAUACUAUUAUAUAAAUUUAUAGCUUAUAAACAUUCAUUACCUAGACACCAGCCGAAGCAAAGGUGUUCAAACUUCAAAUAAUCAAUACAAGAAAGCAAUACAGAAUUUGUUUCAUAACAGAUUCUAAGCAAUAAUAGAUUCAGCUAUGUUGCCUACCAUAAAUUUAACCGGUUUACAUAGUCUUAUUGCAUACAUCACUCUUUCUAAAUAAUCAGGUCCUACUUACGGAAGAUGAUACAAGCCUUCUUUACUGAAUUAUAAAGAAAGUAAUAGCAUGUAUACAUACAUUCUUCAACAGAGUCUAGCCACCUUCUGCGCCAGUAAGGAUUGACGUACAUAAGGGCAACAAAUCCCAAUAAAAACACAACCAAUGUUGAAAUAGAACUUCCAUAGAAACACACGAUAUCAAUUUCAUACCAUUUCUCAGUGCCUUGUUCUUCGAGAGAUGGAUGUGUUGUUACAUGUGGUUCAGUGGCACAUUUCUUCUCCAGUGGUGGUCCACAAAGAAGCGGAUUGCCUUGGUAGCACGCCUCUGUAAAGGUACCAAACUGCUGUUUCAUGUCUGGGAGUCUACCCGACAGAUUGUUGUGAGAAACAUUAAAAACUCCUAGAAAAGUCAGCUCAAUCAGUUCUGAUGGAACUUUGCCAGUCAAACCAUUUGAAGAAAGGUCUAAGCUCUCCAGUUUAGCAAGAUCUGAGAAGUUCACUGGAAUGGGUCCAGUCAGCUGAUUGUGAGACAGGUUCAAAGCAAGAAUCUGGGUCAAAAACCCCAGUUCUUCAGGGAUUUUACCUGUCAGUUUGUUGCACGAUAAAUCCAAUCCUGCCAUGUAAUCAAGAAUAUUGCCUUUGUAGGGACGAGACAUGCUUUUUGUUGUAAACUGAACUUCGUCUCGUGUUUCAAUCACUUCGGGAUAGAAGUUGAUAGAAAGCCCCCUCUGAGGAUCACUUCCAUCCACGUAAGUGAAAUCCGUGAAAGACUGACUCAUCAUUCUUUCAAUGAAAGCAAGGUAACGUGGGCCUGUAAUAUUUUGAAGGCAUCUAGGUAUUGAACCAGAAAGAGAGUUACUGGAUAAAUCUAUCAAACUCACAUUACUUAAUUGGCAUAAUUGCUUCGGAAUAGAACCGCUAAAGUUGUUAUUUCUCAAAACAAGAAUCCUUAAAUCGGAUAGUUCGCCAAGAAAUUCGGGAAUCCCGCCCGACAACUUGUUGUUGCCUAUGUCCAAAAUCAAAACCUUAGUCAAAUUACCAAAGGAAAGAGGAACUGAUCCAGUAAAUCUGUUGGAACCCAAAUAAAGAUGCUCCAUAUUUUGCAAAUUUAAGCAGGAUGGGAUGGGCCCGGAGAAAGAAUUCUGUGAGAUAUCCAGAAACGAGAAUGGAGCUGUUCCACAAGGAAACCGACCUUUCAAACUAUUAUUUCUCACCACAAGUUCAGACAGGUAUUUCAUAUUGCUUAACCAGCUAGGAAUGACACCUGUAAAUAAGUUAUUGCUAAUAUCAAGAGCUCUCAAACCUUCAAGAUUUUCCUCCCAGCUCUUAAUUCCGAUUUUCCCUGUGAAACGGUUGCCAUCUAAGUAAACCCAUUGGUGGUUACCCCAGCUUAGGUUUCCUGAGAGUACCUCCCCAUGCAAGUUGUUCCUUGAUAGUUUCAAUAUAUCCAGGUAAGAGAGGUUUGUAAACAAUUCCUUUGGUACUUCUCCUGAUAACUCAUUAUCGGAUAAAUCUAGUACUUGUAAUCUGCUCAAAUCACCAUAUGACGGAGGAAUAGCACCACUUAAAGAGUUUCUGGACAAAUUCAAACGAUUUAUGUUUGGAAAGAACUUUGGGAUAUUGUUUAGAAUAGUACCUUUCAUGUGAUUUCCAGACAAAUCCAACAACUUCAUAUUAGCAUUCCAAUACAGUGGAAAACUGUCAAAGGAGUUGUUCCUUAGAUUAAGAACUUGCAAAUUCGUAUUGUUUUCAAUCAACCAAUUUGGAAAAUCCCCCUCCAAGGAGUUGUGGGACAUGUCUAAUUCUAGUAACUUGUGUUGGUGAAGUAGAAACCCCGGAACAAGAUGUCCUUUAUGAAAAUUCAUAUUGCAAUUAGAUAGAGCAAGAACUUUCAACUGAAACUUUGGAAUCCAAUCUAUAGCCUCUUCUGUUUCCACCUCAAACCUGUCAUUGUCGCUUCUAAAUCGAACUACCUCAAGCUUUGUAAGAUUGCAGAAAUAGCUGAAUGAGAAUGAACCUUCAAAUAUGUUAUGACUAAAAUCAAUGUACUCGAGAGAUGUGAGAUUAGCAAUGAGUGAGGGCAUAAGUAUCCCUGAGAAUUGGUUUGAAGAAAUAUCCAACAACUUAAGAGAUGUUAGACUGUCAAAACACAGAGGCAGACUUCCAUGGAGCAUGUUGUUACUAAGAUCCAACUCCUGGAGAUUCUUUGACUCACAGAAUCCCGCCCAAAAAAAAAAAAAGUUGUUCGCUCAUUUAGGCAUCUGAAAGAGUAACUAUCGGGGAAAGGCCAAUUUAACCAUACCGUAACAGCAUUUCAUAUAUGCAUUUGUCCUAAAAAAUCCUAGACUUCUAAUCGUGCAUGCUUUAGAUAACUUACCAUCAUCAGAUAAUGAGCCAUUAAGACUAUUUUCAGCGAAUGAGAGAACUCUUAGGGAAGAUAAUCCCUGUAUUGUUGAUGGGAUGCUCCCAACAAAACUGUUUUCACUCAAAUCCAAGAUCUCAAGAUGACGGAAAGAUGCAAAAGCUAGAUGGAAACAAGAGAAGAGAAGGUUACUAAUUAAUAAAAACCCUGAAAAAGGAUUUGUUAUAAGUGAUGAUUAUUGAUGAAUGAAGCUGGUUAAGCUGUGGGGAAAAACCGCUACCUUCCAUUGGAAGUGUUCCACUGAAACCAUUACGUCUCAAGAGGAGGACUUCCAAAUCACGCAAAUCAUUAAACUCUGAAUUACAUAGAAGGACGUGUUAAACAAUUAGCAAGAAAGAGAAAUUAAUAAAUAAUAAUGAAGAUGAAAUAUAGUAUUUUAGUUUUUUAACGAUGACUCCUUUUGAGGUAAACAUGCCUUGGACAGGAAAGGAAGUUCCCAGUGAAGUUGAAUAGGAUAGAUCAAGAAUCUUGAGGGAUGGGAGGGCAGUUAAGCAUGAUAUGAUGCUCUUGUUGAAACUGUUACCAGAAAGAUUUAUACUCUCCAGCCUUUUCAUUCUUGAUAAGCUCUUACAGUCUGCAAAAGGGAAGGCAAUUCUUAAAGAAACCAUGCAUGGUCUUAUCAAGCAUGUAACUAUAAAUCUUCAUUUACCUUGGAUAUUGGGUGUGCCAAGGUACCAGGUAUUACUUAAAUCCAACUUCUUUAAGUUAAUCAGAUGAGCUAAUUCUGUCAUAUGAAAGAAAAACAUAUAUCACACAUCAUGCUUGCUAUUUUCAUAUGUACAUUUUGAAGCUAGUUUGGUGCAUUAUAUGUUCGCUGGUAUUUUUACAUGAUUGUAACUAGGUACCCUUAUUUAACGUGCAAUACCAGUUCACCACAAUAGGCAUUAUAUUUUGAUAAAUGUUUUUCAAGGGAUGCUUAUAUAAGUAAUUAAAAGAUUAUAGGUGUUUCGGUUGCGUUAAUCUAAUUAACAAUUAGAUAUAUGUUCACAAACACUGUAUAGAUAUGCGUUCUCAUGUAUCACCGUAAAUUGGAAACAAUGGAAAAGCUCUUUCUGGAGAACAUAUAUGAAGUAUAAAAAUACAUCCACUUUUACUUCUGUUAUGCAUUAGUCAAAAGAAUUAAGACUCCAUUACAUUUUUCUUUUGUCCAAUAAAAGAAACAGGCCAUAUUUCAAAUUUCAAAACCUGGAAGAGUCAUUCUGUUAGGGUCGACUUGUAAUGUCGCAAAAGGUAAAUUUGUGUAUGAAUCCAAUGUGAUUAUAUAUUGGCAUGAUGGGUUUAAGAUGACAAAUUGAUUACCUUGAAUCUCAAAGGUAAUAUUAAAGUAACAAAAGCUUAGAGACAACACCUCCAAGUUCUCUAAAGCUGUAAAUUUUGCAAUUCAUGUAAAAAGGGUGUAAUUAGUACCUUUAAAAUAUGCAUUUCUACAUGAUAAAAAAAAGGAAUGAAAGAAAAGACAAGAACAUGCCACUGAUAGGGUAGUUUCCAUUCAAGCCUGUGUGGCUAAGAUCCAAGAUUUUGAGUGAAGUGAGUGUACUCAAUGAUGGAAGAAUGUCGUUAUCAAUAUCAUAAUUCAAACUGAGGUCUAGUAUCUCCAACUUUUUCAAACUCGACAACCUUUCAAGUCCUGCAAAAGAAAAAAAAAAGUUUUUUAUCAAAGGCAUCCUAGUCUUUUGAUAUUUUAGGGACUACUUUCCGGGCACAGAUAGUAGUUAUAUACAGAUAAGAUUCGGCAUGAAUUGCAGCUUCUGAAGUAAAGACUUGUGUUUGGUCUAUUUUUACUUAGAGCAACCGUAAUUUUAUUAAAAUAGCUAAAGGCCAGAAAAAGAGGGAAGAAAAUUACAUCCCAUAUAUUAAUUGGAUGUUGAGUCUAUGAAUUUGAAAAAAAGAUGAUGUUGGAACCGGAUGAAAAAAAAUAACUAAAGCAAUUAAUCACAUUGUACUAUACCUGUCUUCAUAAUCUCUAAUUUAUCAAGAAAAUCAUAUGAUAGAUUGAGACUUGUCAACUCUCUAAAAUGAAGAAACAAGGAAACAUUCAAUGGCCACAACUGGAUCCCAAGCUCCAUGUUUUCAUCUACCAUUCCUCUCAAAUUGUACAAAGAAAGCUCUAUGACAUGCCCGGUGGUUGUGUUGCAGUUGACCCUCUCCCAAUCACAACAAUCGCUGCCACCAUCCCCAGGGGUACUACUGCCAUAAUCAACCCAAGUAGGGAGAAAAUCGUCAAUUUCAGAAUCAUAUGACUUCAUAUGGGAGGCCUUGAUUUCGAGUAGCGCCUUUCUCUCCUCUACUAUACAAUCUCCUUGUGUUUGCCCGACCAUUAGAAUAUUUAUCAUCAUCAACAUCAAGGACCGAUAUACCCAUGAUUUACUCUGACUCACAACCCAACACUCCAUUUUAGUAGCUAAUGAUGACUUUAUAGAGACACAAACUUCCGGUUUAGUUUGGUUUGGUUUUAUUUGCUUGGUAUAUGAACAGAUAUGUAAUGAGGCAUGGAAAACAAUUUAUAUGUGAUAAAGUGAAUAUGUUUGAAUAUUAAUUGCAUAAUUCUCCGCCAUUCAUCAAGUCAAUGGUCGAUCUCCACACAUAACUCUAUUCCAUCUAUUCCAUUGUCAACCAUUCCUUCAACUUGUCCCUUUUGGAGUAUCAGGUAUGAUACAGUUACACUCCCCAAAACUUAUGAUUCGACAUUUGUUGACUUUUCAACGAACUUACAAGUCUCCAUUCACAUAGCAUAUUUUUCAAUUGCUUAUAUAAACAAAAAUAUUUAUUAGCUAAACAUUAAUAUUAUCACAAUCAUUUCUUUUACAUAAUUUUCAUUCAAGAUUUCUAAAGUAUAUAAAUAAUCCUAAGAAGAAUUUGACAAAGAGAAUGACUAGUGUAAUUAAUAGAUAUUUUUAUUUAAGCAUUGAAUUCCUGUACUCCCUUCUGCAUUUCAAGCUUAUUGUUACUCAAAAAGACCACUUAAAACUUGAGCUCUUACACAGGUACCCAACAAUAUUUAUAAGCUAAUGGCUGGUUAAUAGGUAAGCUGAUUUACACCAUGAAUCUCAUAGGUAAUAAUUUUUGAAGAACAAACAAAAGCAUAAAGGGUCCGAUAUUAAGAGAGUUUUGUAUCAAUCGACACAUUUGUAAUAAUUUACUUCGAUAUAUUAGAAGUUAUUUUCAAAGAUAAAGAUUGUAAUUUCAAAUAUUAUAUUAGAAGGCCACAGCAUCCUACUUAUGAAUAAAAAACGGAAGUACUGAUUAUCAUUCAUUUAGAACGAUAUUAUAUUUUGAUUCUCAAGUUUAACAUAUUUUUUCAGUUUUGGUACAAGAAAGUUGUCUUACAAAUUUAGUCCUUAAUUUGACGUUUUUAUAACGAUUUUGGCCAUCAUCUCAUAUAUACCUUUAUCUACUCUUUUUAUGAUAUUUUACUAUUAUGUAAAUUAUUGUAUACCAUAUUAUAUUAAGUUGGCCCCACCUCCCCCAUUCAUAUCCCCUCAUUUUUUAAAGCAGAUUCCUGAACCCUGAUGUAAAAAGUUAUGUGGAUCAUUACAGAUGACGCACAAACACAUAUAUGCCCACACAUAAAAAGAAAAUAAAAUCCACCUACCAUACCUUUGUAGACUCGCACAGCUCCUUGCGGUUCUCAUGGAUCGAUCAUAUCAAUUCCUGGUAAACAGCGAAUUGAGAGCCAUUGCUAGAGAGCACGAUAACCCGACAAUGAAACCGGCGUCAGCGAAUUUGAAAUUGCAACAACCCUAACCCGAUGAGUAUGCUUAACCUUUCACCUCCUUUCCUUUCCUCCUCGUCUUCCCUAACCACAUAACCAUUUUCACCACAAUUCACCGACGACGGCGAGGGUACAGAGUCUCGGACCUCGAUUUAGAGGGGUGGUAGAGGGUGAAGGCAGCGGCGAGAUGGUGUGUGUGUGUGGGUGGGUGGGGGGUGUUCAUAGUGGAUUCUAUAAGCGUGACGCCGUCGAGUCGACGGAAGAGGAACCGGAGAACAAACGGAGGGGUGGGAAGGGUUUUAACUGGAAAGGGAAAUGGAGGAGUGCGGUAAAAAACAAAGGGAAAUGCAUUUUCUAGGGUUUACCCGAGUCCCUUAACUAGAUGAUUCUUUUAGUUCAUAUCAACCUAUACUAUAAUAGUCGGUUUAGUGACAUUUUAGAUUAAAAAAACUCAUAGAGGAUUCUUAUAAAGCCAAAAAAAUAAGUUUGGGGAUCAAUUCAUACAAAAAAAAAAACUCUGGUUUUCUUCUAAAAUCAAUUCACACUUAAUUCGUAUUGAUCCCCGAACUUAUUUUUUUUUUAAUUUAUAGGGUAUACUGUGAGUUUUUUUUUAUCUAAAAGGUCACUGAACGGGCUAUUACAGGUUGACAAAGACUAAAAGACCAGGUCAUAUCCUAGUUUAGGGAUCUAUAAAGCCCGACAAAAGCUUUAGAGACUGAACGGGUAAGCCUUAUAAACUUCGUAGGGCAUUUGUGUUAUUUUCCCAAAACAAAAUAGAAUAAAGACUAAACUACAAAAAUGAUCCCUGUAUUAGUAUGACUUUACAAAUUUAGUCCUAUUUUUCAAAUUUGUCAAAAUUGGUCCUUAUUUUAGGUUUCGAUUACACAUUUCGUCAAUAUCUUUGUUACUUUUUUAUUGAAUCCGCUAACCACCCUCAUGUGCCCCUCAUAUGAGGGGUAUUUGAGUCAUUUUACUACUUUCCAAACCAAUGAUCAUCUUCUUUUAUCACCGCCAUCCUUCACCCAUCUUGAGUAAUUUCUGGCAAUCUUCUUCUCCCACAACCUUCAUAAUCCUUCACUUUUUCCAACAACCACCCUAUCGUUAAAUUUUGGCAACCCUCUCCCACUUCUAGUUUUUUUUCCUUGAACAAACCCAAUUUGAAGCUAAUUUAACGAAAGGAAACAUCAUCCUAAAUGUUCAUUUCCUUCCUUUUGUAUGUUAAUUGUGAAGAUCAUUCUUUCAUUGAUUUUCAAGGUAACAAGUUACACAUUUUAAGGAAGUUUCUCAAUGUAACAAGUUACUAGGUUAUAUGCUCAAAAUUGUUGUUAUAACAAGUUAUUCGACCUAAACCAUGCAAGUGAGUGACUCUUGGGGCCAUUAUAACAAGCAUAUGCAAACUAUAUUGCACGUUGUAAAUUUAUGAAACACAAUUGCAUGCCAUCUUUCUUUAUGACGAGGGUUAAAGACAUGUAUUUGCAUGUCAUUUGUCCCCUUUUAUGACACGUAAUGUAUGUCAUUAAAGACAUAUUUUAUAGUGGUGUAUAACAAACUAAAUGUGAAUAAAUUCAAAGUUGAAGGAGUUAUAUGUAAAAGAAAUAUUCAAAUAUAUUUGGUGUUAAUGAAUAUUUUAACAACAUAUUUGGUUUAUGAGAAAUUUAAUGUCCUCCUACAUUUUAUUCCUACUUAUCUUCUUAUCCUAUAAAAUGUUGACAUGUGGCAUAUUUAAUGACAUAUAUAAUGAAAUUGAUAAUAUUUUAAUCCACUUAUCACCAUUUAAUAUAGGUAGAAGAAUAUUAGGAAUAAAAUGUAGGAGGAUAUUUAAUUUCUCUUGGUUUAUACCAUUUAUCAAUAUCAUAUUUGAUGUAAAAAAUUAUGUUGCAUUGAUGCAAAUUUACACCAAGAAAAAGUGCAAAUAUAGGAUUUACAAUUCAAUUGAAAAUUCCUCAAAUCAAGUUAUUUUUUACACUUUUUCAAAAUAAAAUAAAAAUAAAUGUAAUUGAUAAAUGCUCCAGAAAGAAAUUUAAAAUAUCUAAACAUAUAAACCUCUAAUUUAAUAAAGACAAAAUUAUGUGAUGUAGUCUUGUGGUUUGUAACGUCAUGAUUUUCACAACUAAAAUUUUCAUUUUUAAAUUAAGUAAAAUCAUUGUUUCUAAGAAAAACCAAGUCAUGAAACCAUAAGUAUUAAAAUACAAUCAUCCCAAAAAUCAAAGUAUCAUAACAAUACGAAAUCAUGAAAGAUGUUGAUGAGAGUGUACAAUCUAGCAUUCGUCUUCUCACAAUCAUAUUAAGUACCUAAAACACAUUUAAAUCCACAAACAAGUGUGAAGCUUAGUAAGUUACCCUAAAUAUCACAUACAACACAACAUAAUAAACAACUAUGGGCUAUCAGCAACUCGAGGACUAUCAGCAGUCCUAUGGGCUCUCAACAGCCAUAUGGGUUAUCAACAACGACUAUCAGUAGUCCUGGAGUUAUUAACAACUCAAAUAACACACAUAACAAAAAUCAACAAAUAAGACUUAGUUAGUCUAGCAUGCACCCCAUUAUGACAUAGGUAAUAUGGUGAGAAUACUCACCUUGUAUAUAGCAGCUUGACACAACACAACAUUACUCAAAUGGUGAAGACCGACCCUAAGAAUCACCUAACUAACAAUAUAAAAAUUUCACUCUUAGUCUACACUCUAUAACCCCCAGGUUGACCAAAAGUUAACAUGGUCACGAAGUCAAUGGUCAAAGUUAGCGGUUAAAGCUAGCCCCGGCCAACCCCUAUAUCGUAGAUACCAUUUGGCCACACUAUGGCAGCAUUAGGAUAAAAUCAGUCGCAGGAGUGUCCAUCACCACAUCAUGGUGGUCAAUCCACCACGUCAUAGGAACAUCUCUAGACAGCUUAAUGCAUUAAGCUCUUAAUCUUUCAAGCUAUACACUCAAACUUUCUAAAAGGCUUUAUUCACCCCAAAGCAUCAUAAAAAUCGCUUUAUAGACAUGCAUGUCUUGAUCUCAAGUUAUAUCAAUAUGGAUAAAAAAGAGAUCGAGAUCUCAUGUAUGAACCCAAAAUUCAACAACUCUCCAGAUAUGGGAAACUAGACCACGAAGGAACUUUAAGAACCCAUAAAACUGCCAACUUUAUGGAGUAUAUACGAGUAACCCACCCCAAACAUGGAAGAAAUUGGAUAAAAACCUAGAUCUAGCAUUCUUGACACAUAAAGGUAGGAGCUUGAGGACUUACAAGAGUCUGAAAACAACACGGGAUGUAAAAAAAAAAUAUUAUAUAACAUUAUAAGUAACAAAUAUUAUAUAUAGAAAUUUAUUAUACAAAUAAUAACCUACAUGCGAUCCAUUUGUAAAAAAAAAAAAUUGGAGCAGAUUUACCCAGCAAAAUAAUGCAAAAAAGAAUAAUUUAGAUUUCGGGUUUGUGACGCCCUUAACAAGUUUUAUUAUUAUUAUUAUUAUUAUUAUUUUUUUUACAUAUUUUUAAUAAUAAAAUAAAGACAAAAAUUAAAUGAUAGAACUAUAUAUCUAAAGAGAAUAAACCUUAAAUUUAGUUAAUAUAAUAAACAUAUUUUUAAUGUAAUAAAAGGUUGUUGGUUUAUUGAUGGGCCUGAGCCAAAUUCUUUUAAGUUUUUUUUUCCCUUUUGCUUGGCUCUUGGGUUCUUCACACAAAGAAAUCGAUUUUGGUUUUGUAAAAGGACGAUUAGGCAGAAGAAAAUCACGAAUGAACGAUAAAAUAAAAAAUUACAAGGAGGUCGAUUCAGUGCAAAACCUUUUACAAAUGUGGUUAGGUUCUUAUACUUCUGAUUCACUCACAGGGUAGUUUGUAAAUUGGAUUUGUGAACUUCGUUUAUUGGUAAAUUUUGAGCAAUUUUGUAUAGAAGCGUUGCCGAACUGCUAGGGUUGACACCAAAUCUAGGGAUUUUUCCAAAAUCGUUCUAAUAUUUUGCAUAUCUUUUCUUAAUCAUUUAAUUGGAUACAUAAAUAUUAGUAUGUAUUUGGAGCAGAUGAUGUUAAAUAUUAAUAAUUUUUUCAAUGUUUAGAUGUUUUUCCUGUGAUUAGCUAGUUUGUUUCAUUAUUAACAUCGAUUUAGAUCUUUAUAUGUUUAUGUGUAAUCUACUGCUGAUAAUGAGAUUGAUAAUUACCACUCUGUUUUAUGUUCUCACAAAAUUGAAGUAUAUGGCUGGAGAACUUAACAACCACUCCAAGUUAUUGAAUAUUCUUUACAGAUUUAAGCAUUAGGUUCUGGUAGGACUAAUUAAGACAAACUGUAAACCAUCAGCAUUACAUCGAUGGUCAUUAAAUCAGGAUUUCUGCUCAUUGGUAACAUGGAAUAAUAGUGGUUUGUUUAUUUAGAAUCGUUGAUAUUUGUAUUAAACAACCAUCAAAAUAUUACAUCAACACCAACACCCAAUACUGCUUUGUCUUUUAUUGGAUUUCACAAGUAGUUAAUGCAUUACAUGUGAUUACGAAGUUAUAUCAUUAAAAUUGUAACGUAACAUUUUGAAUAAGCAACUUAGUACAUUUGGGUUACCUUUUACCUAUUUAACUUAAUUCCUGUUUUUUCUAAGUUUCAAAAUUUGACUCAUUUGGGUCGUAGAUGUAAAAUAUACUAAAUUGAUUUGUUUCUAAGUAAAUGAGUUGAACUCAGAAUUUGCUUUACGAAAAUGUCGCAGUUUAUUUGAUAAAAAAAAAAUAAGUAAUCUCUACUCCAUUCAUCACAUUUAUAGUGUUAGUCGAUCUUUAAAUUCUUUAUUUUAUCAGGGGAUAAACCCAUCUUGUAAAAUCAUGUGGUUUGCCUACAGACAUAUUUUAGUUAAUUCGGAUUUUUACUCAUAUCUUUAAUGCAUCAAGAACCAUGCUUCUGAGUUUUAAAACACCUGAUUGGGAGGAAUCAACAUUGCAAACAUCAUAGAUCCCUAAAGCUAUUUGAAAGCAAGGCCCAGGUUAUUGAUCUGGAAUCCUGAUUUCCGGAUGUUUAGGAGAUCAACAUGUAAUGUUGGGUAGUGAUCAGGAGGCGAUUCAUUUGAAAAAAAAAUUAGGAGAAUCUUUUUUUAUACAUCAUCAUACAUAUGAAUACACAUACAAACAAGUUUGCAUUUAUUUUAUCACGCAUUCUAAUGGAGGUCCUGCUUAUGAAUGGUCAGGGAAGGCUUCCUUGCCAGAUCAGAAAGGGAGUAAUAAAAUGUAAACAUACAAUCUUCAACCCAGUCUAGCCACCUUCUACGCCACCAAGGAUUGGUGUAAAGAAUUGCAACAAAUCCCGAUAAGAAGACAAAACAUGUGGAACUAGAACUUCCGUAGAAGCAUGCCAUAUCGAUAUCAUACCAUUUCUCAUUGUCUUCUUCUUCAUCCGAUGGAUUGGUCAGCUGUGAAUUAGUAGUUGUGCAUUUCUUCACGAGUGGUGGUCCACAAAGAAGUGGAUUCCCUUCAUAGCUUGCCUCUGUGAAGGUACCAAACUGUGCUUUCAUAUCUGGGAGUCUGCCUGAGAGAUUGUUGUGAGAAACAAUGAAAGUAGAUAGCGAGGUAAGCUUAAUCAGUUCUGAUGGAACAUUUCCGGUCAAACUAUUUGAAGAAAGGUCCAAGCUCUCUAUUUUUGCAAGAUUUGAGAAGUUCACAGGAAUGGGUCCAGUGAGGUGAUUGUGAGACAGGUUUAAAGCACGAAGAUGAGUUAAGAAUCCGAGUUGUUGUGGAAUUUCACCGGAUAGUUUGUUACAGGAAAAAUCCAAUCCUGCCAUGUAAUCAAGGAUGCCACCCUUGUAGCUGAGAAAGAGCCUUUUUGUUGUGUAUUGAACUUCUAAAUUGAACAACCUCAAGCUUUAUAUGAUUGGAUAAGGAGCUGAAGGAGAAUGAACCUUCAAAUUUGUUAUGACUAAAAUCAAUAUACUCGAGAGAUGUAAGAUUAGCAAUGAGGGAUGGCUUAAGUAUCCCUGAGAAUUGGUUUGAAGAAAUAUCCAACAACUUAAGAGAUGAUAGAUUUUUCAAACACUGAGGCAGAGUUCCAUGGAGCAUGUUGUUGCUAAGAUCCAACUCAUGGAGGUUCUUCAACUCACACAACCCUGUCAAACGACCAAAAAAAAAAAAANNNNNNNNNNNNNNNNNNNNNNNNNNNNNNNNNNNNNNNNNNNNNNNNNNNNNNNNNNNNNNNNNNNNNNNNNNNNNNNNNNNNNNNNNNNNNNNNNNNNNNNNNNNNNNNNNNNNNNNNNNNNNNNNNNNNNNNNNNNNNNNNNNNNNNNNNNNNNNNNNNNNNNNNNNNNNNNNNNNNNNNNNNNNNNNNNNNNNNNNNNNNNNNNNNNNNNNNNNNNNNNNNNNNNNNNNNNNNNNNNNNNNNNNNNNNNNNNNNNNNNNNNNNNNNNNNNNNNNNNNNNNNNNNNNNNNNNNNNNNNNNNNNNNNNNNNNNNNNNNNNNNNNNNNNNNNNNNNNNNNNNNNNNNNNNNNNNNNNNNNNNNNNNNNNNNNNNNNNNNNNNNNNNNNNNNNNNNNNNNNNNNNNNNNNNNNNNNNNNNNNNNNNNNNNNNNNNNNNNNNNNNNNNNNNNNNNNNNNNNNNNNNNNNNNNNNNNNNNNNNNNNNNNNNNNNNNNNNNNNNNNNNNNNNNNNNNNNNNNNNNNNNNNNNNNNNNNNNNNNNNNNNNNNNNNNNNNNNNNNNNNNNNNNNNNNNNNNNNNNNNNNNNNNNNNNNNNNNNNNNNNNNNNNNNNNNNNNNNNNNNNNNNNNNNNNNNNNNNNNNNNNNNNNNNNNNNNNNNNNNNNNNNNNNNNNNNNNNNNNNNNNNNNNNNNNNNNNNNNNNNNNNNNNNNNNNNNNNNNNNNNNNNNNNNNNNNNNNNNNNNNNNNNNNNNNNNNNNNNNNNNNNNNNNNNNNNNNNNNNNNNNNNNNNNNNNNNNNNNNNNNNNNNNNNNNNNNNNNNNNNNNNNNNNNNNNNNNNNNNNNNNNNNNNNNNNNNNNNNNNNNNNNNNNNNNNNNNNNNNNNNNNNNNNNNNNNNNNNNNNNNNNNNNNNNNNNNNNNNNNNNNNNNNNNNNNNNNNNNNNNNNNNNNNNNNNNNNNNNNNNNNNNNNNNNNNNNNNNNNNNNNNNNNNNNNNNNNNNNNNNNNNNNNNNNNACACAAGGAAACUUGUGUUAAAUUACAAACCGUUACUUAGGUUUUCCUACAUAUAUAUAUAUAUAUAUAUAUAUAUAUAUAUAUAUAUGUAUAUAUAUAUAUAUAUGUGUGUGUGUGCGUGUGUGUGUGUGUUUAUAUUUUUCACUUAGAUGCGGUUAGAAAUAACUAUUUUAUAUAUAUGAAUCUGAAUACAUUUUCUGUCGCUAAGUUUAAAAUGUGACUGAAUUUCUAGAACUAUGCAUUUUCAAGACGUGCCUUCCUUUUGUGAUGUCAAUUUUGUAAUGAAUGUGAUUUCCACAUACCAAAUCUUUUUCAUGCAACUAUUUUUGUGAUGCCAAGUUAUAAAAAGUAACUGCUUAUUUGACAUCAUAAAGAUAAAACAUUAUAUUUUAUUUUACAAAUUCCAUAAAGCAUAUACAACUGAAAAGCUAUAAAGAUACAUAUAUGUAAUUAUUAAAAAAAAAAAAGUAUAAGUAUAAGAUGCAGGAAUGAUUUUACUAUCAAGUUGCACAUUCAAUAUGUUUAGUCAACAUUCACUUUAGUGUUUUAAAUGUAAAUUUAAUGCAUAAAAGAACUAAUGAAAUCAAUAUACUAUAAAUAUCUACCCAUGACCAUGAAAAAUUAUUUUAUAUGUAUCAAUUAUUUAAAGAUAAUAUUUCUGUCUUCUGUAGAUAAUAAAUGAUAACUACAAUUACAUAGAAAUUCAGACAUGUAUACUAAGUUUCUUGGACUUUGUGUCCCUCAUUCUGCAGGAAAUUUCAUAUCGGCACCACUAGUUUGAAACAUAAACAAAAGCCCCCCUCAAUGUCACCUAUCGCGUCUCUCUAUUAACCAAGCCAAUGCAACCGAAACACUUAUACAUCUCAAUGUGUGAAGAUCACACAUAGACCAUAGACAUGACACAACAUCCCACAAACACUCUAUAAAUAUAGGUUCUCAUGCAUCAUACCAAAUUGAAAACAAGAUAAAAUCAAUCAAGUUCAUAUGGUCUAAAAAUGAUACUCAAACAACUAUGGAAAUAAGUAUAUACAGUCAUAGGAGGUACCUUGAGCUGGAAAUGGUCCCGGCAUUUGAUUGUAGCUAAGAUCCAAGUUUGUAAGCGAUGAAAGGGCUUUUAGAGAUGUUAUGACGCUUUCAUUAAACCAGUUGCCCGCAAGAUUUAAACUUUUCAAUUUCCUCAAUAUGGAAACCCUCUCAGAACCUACAUUUAGGAAUCCAAUCGAAUUUAUAAGCUCUAGCCAGUUUCAUACAGCCACAGAGCUCUGAUAAGCCCCAACUUAGCAUGGAUUGCUUUUAGUUGAAUUGCUUUAUUAUAGUUAUUUUAUUGUCUGUUUUGGGUCCAGGGGUAGUUUGGUCUUUUUUAGUAUUAUGUCUGUUAUUGGUUGUUUGUUAUGUUGGGAGCACUAACUUUGUCCCAGGUCUGUUUUAGGGGACCACUCCCCUGAGUCAUGUCUAGUUUAAACUUUAAAUAUAUACCCCUGCAGGUUUUUGUUUAGGUAGCUAAGAAUUAAUUUGUAAAAUGAACUUUGUUCUUCUUCGAGAGUCCAUUCCUCUCAAAUGAAUGGGAAAACCCUAAUCUAUCUUAUCAAUUCAUAGUUUCAUUAUCAGAUUGUAUGCAAGAAUGAAUAAGGGUCUAUCAAUCUCUUUUGGAGAACGUAUACAAGUACAUAUCUAUAUCCGUUUUAAGCAUUGUAAGGCUUCCAUUAAAAGAAUUGUUUAUUAUAUCAGACCAAGUGACUUGAUUGUAGUGUAUUGCAGUAGUAAUAUCUCUACCACAGAUAAUCAAGUCCUUAUUGCGAUUUUUCUGUCCCAAGUAAAGAAAGGUCAUAUUUUAAAUUUCACACAUGGAUGAGUCAUUCUGUUAUGGUCUUGUAAUGUUGCAAAAGAGGGAUUUGUGUACAAGUCCAAGGUGACUUUAUUGGCAUGAUGUUUUUAUGAUGAUAUUGCUUACCUUGAACCUCAAAGGUACCAUUGAAGCGACAAUAGCUUAGAUCCAACACCUCCAAGUUCUCUAAAGCACCAAAUUCUGCAAUUCAUGUGAGAAGGAUGUAAGUAUCUUUAAAACAGGCAUUUAUGCAUGUUAACCAUAAAAAAGAAGAAACGAAAAAGACACAAACCUACCAUUGGUAGGGAAGUUUCCAUUCAAGCUAGUGUCGCUAAGAUCCAAGACUUUGAGUGAAGUGAGUGUCUUUAAUGAUGGAAGGAUGUCGUUAUCGAUAUCACGAUUCCCACUAAGGUCUAGUACCUCCAACUUCUUCAAACUCGACAGCCUUUCAAGCCCUGCAAAAGAAAGAGAAUUUUUUAACACAGGCAUCCUAGCCUUUUGAUAUUGAAAGGGCAACUUUCUAAGCACAAUUGGUAAAUACUAAAAAGCUGUAGCAUGAUUUGCAGGAUCUGAAGUACACAUAAAGUCUUGUGUUUGGUCUUUUAUAUAUAGAAAAACAUUAUCCAACCAUUAGGGUUCCUAAGAAGCGUCUUUGAGUGCAUAAAUUAGUUGGAUGUUAUGUUCACGAAUUUGAAUAGAGUCGACUUACUGGAAUGUUUUGCUCAAAAAAAUAUGAUGUUGGAACAAGGUGAAAGAAAUACUAAUUAAAGCAAUUAAUCAUGUUGUACCUGACUUCAUGAACUCUUUAUCAAGAGAAUUCUGUGACAAAUUGAGACUUGUCAACUCUUUAAAAUGAAGAAACAAGGAAACAUUCAAUGGCCACAGCUUGCUUUCAUCCUUAUACCAGUAAGCAUCGAACCCUAUCACCCCUCUUAAAUUGUACAAAGAGAGGUCUGUCACAUGCACUGUUGUUGUGCUGCAGUUGAUCCUCUCCCAAUCACAGCAGUUGCUGCCACCAUCCCCAGGGGUACCACCACCAUAAUCAACCCAGGUAGGGAGAAAAUUGUCAAUUUCAGAACCAUAUGACUUCAUAUAGGAGGUUUUGAUUUCCAGUAGUGCCUUUCUCUCCUCUUCUACGCAAUCCCCUUGUGUAUGCCCAGCCAUUAUUAGAAUAUGUAUCAUCAUUAACAUCAACAGCCAACAUAGCAAUGAUUUAUGCUUACUACAAGCCCAACACUCCAUUUUAGCAGCUAAUGGUGGCUUUGUAGAGACACUCACAACAUUAAACUUCCUGUUAGGUUUGGUUUGCUUAGCUUUGCUUGGAAAACAUUUGAUAUAUGAUGAAAUGAAUAUGUAUGAAUAAUAAUAAUUUCCACACAUAAGUCAUCAAGUCAAUGCUCAAAAUUUCCAUACAUAACUCUAUUCCAUCUAUUCCAUUGUCACUUUGUCAGUGACUCCUUCAACUUCACCCUUUCCCUUUUGGAGUAUGAUACACUCCCAAACAUUUAUGACACGGCAUUUGUUGACUCUUCAAUUAAUGAACUUCUAAGUCUCCAAUUGCCCUAUUAAAUUUUUGGAAUUACUUACAAAAUCAAAAAUAUUUACUAACUACACACUAAUAUCAAUUACAUCAUUUCCAUUUAAUUUUACUGAAGUAAAUAAACAAACCUAAGAACAAUUUGACAAAGAGAAUGACUGCUGUAAUUGAUAGAUAUUUUUAUUUACACGUUUAAUUCAAAAAAGAGAUCAAUACAAUUUUUUUUAUACAUUUUGCUCUUGCUUUAUGUACUUCUCAUACUCCAUUCUGCAUUUCAUGUUUAUUUUUCUCAAAAAAGCCACUUAAAACUUGAGUUCUUAUAUUGGUACCCAACAAUAUUUAUAAGGCCGCUACAUCCUACUUUUGAGUAAAAACUGAAUAACUAAGUAUCAUUCAUUUAAAGGUAAAUUAUAUUUUGAUCCUCAAGUUUAACUUCUUUUUUAGGUUUUGAUUCAAAAAAGUUGUCUUACAGAUAUUUUAUUAUUUAUGUAUUGUAAUUUAAACCAUAUUAAAUUCAGUUGACCCCACCUCCCCCAUCCACGUCCCCUCGUUUUUGAAACACUUACGCAGAUUCAUGAUGGUGAAAUCAGAUGUGAAACUGAAGAGUGAGGGUUGAUCUUAAUUAGAUGAGCCUUUUAUUGUGUUUGGCAAAAAAAAACUUAUGUAUUACUUAUUAGCUUAUAGCUUAUUGGCUUAUAAGCUAAUAAGUUAGAGGGAGUUAACUUUUGUAUACUCGUAAUGACCAGACUCGCUAACCUCCUUGUGAUUUCCAGGGACGGGUUCUAUAAAUUCCUGGUAAACAGCCAGAUGAGAGCCAUUGCUAGAGAUCACCGUACCCGGAAAUGAAACCGGCUUCGAUUUUGAAAUUGUAACAACCCUAACCCGAUGAGUAGGCCCUUUCGCCUCCCUUCCUUUCCUCCUCGUCUUCUCUAACCAAAUGAUCAUUUUCACCACCAUUGGCCGACGACGGCGAUGAAACAGCGUCUAAGCCCUCAAUUUAGAGGGUUUUGUAUCAGUGGUUAGAGGUUGCAGACAGGGGCGAGAAUGGGUGGGAGUCAUAGUAGGUUCGAUAAGCAGUACACCGUCGACGCUGGACGGAAAGGGAGCGGAGGAUUAACGGAAAGGUGGAAAGGGUUUUAACGGGAAAGGGAAAUGGUAGAAUUAGGUUUGGUGGGGUUGAAGGGCGGGGGGUAAAAAAUUAGGGCUUAGCUUUUCAAAACCAAAAGUCCUUUUUGGAAAAGAAAAAAAAGCAAAAGAUGUUUAGCAAACUGGUUUUAAAAGUAACUUUUGAAGUUUUUACAUAAGGAAAAACAACUUUUUGGAAAAGUCAGGAAAUCCUGACUUUUUGUAACUUUUUCAAAAAGGACUUUUGGGGUUUGAAAAGCUAAGCCAAACACCCCUAAAUAUUUUUUAUCACUUAACUUUUGUGCAUAUUUAGCCACUUAACUAUUUUUAAGUUUUGAAAUAACAUCAAACUUUUGCCUUUGUGCUCAUUUAGUCACUUAAUUUUUAGUUUGGUCACAUUUAGUCACAUAACUUUUAAAAUUAUGCUCAUUUAGUCACUAAACUUUUAAAUUUCUUUACAAGUUUGGUGACUAAAUGAACAAAAAUUUAAAAGUUAGGUGACCAAAUGAGCACAAAUCUAAAAGUUAAGUGGCUAAAUAUGACCAAACCAAAAGUUAAGUGACUAAAUGAGCACAAAGCCAAAAAUUUGAUGACCUUUUGAAACUUAAAAAUAGUUAAGUGACCAAAUAAACACAAAACCAAAAGUUAAGUGAUCAAAAAUGACCUAAACCCUUCAUUAAAACUCAUAAAAAAAAUUGAAGCUUUUAAAUUAGACAAAAUUACAUAAAUGGUCCUCAUGGUUGACAAAAUCGACCAAUUAUGAUCCUUAUGACGAAUUCUUUACACAGAUGGUCCCUGUGGUUUCAAAAUCUUGCAAAGACGGUCAUUUUGAUUAACGGCGUUAACUUUUUCAGUUAAGUCCUAUGUGAAAUGACAUAUUUGCCCUUCAUGCAUAAGGACGCUUUAUGUAAUAUGUUUCUACCACAAGGACCAUUUAUGUCAUUUCACAUAUGACUUAACUGAAAAAGUUAACGCCGUUAAUCAAAAUGANGGAAAGGGAGCGGAGGAUUAACGGAAAGGUGGAAAGGGUUUUAACGGGAAAGGGAAAUGGGAGAAUUAGGUUUGGUGGGGUUGAAAGGCAGGGGUUAAAAAACAGGGGAAUUAGAUUUUUUUUAUCUCUUAACUUUUGGUUUUGUGCUUAUUUAGUCACUUAAUUCUUUUUAAGUUUUGAAAAGUCAUCAAACUUUUGCCUUUGUACUCAUUUAGUCACUUAACUUUUAGUUUGGUCACAUUUAGUCACAUAACUUUUAAAAUUAUGUUCAUUUAGUCACUAAACUUUUAAAUUUCUUUACAAGUUUGUGACUAAAUGAACAAAAAUUUAAAAGUUAGGUGACCAAAUGAAUACAAAUCUAAAAGUUAAGUGACUAAAUAUGAAUAAACCAAAAGUUAACUGAUUAAAUGAGCACAAAGCCAAAAAUUUGAUGAUCUUUUGAAACUUAAAAAUAGUUAAGUGACCAAAUAAGCAUAAAACCAAAAGUUAAAUGAUCAAAAAUGACCUAAACCCUUCAUUAAAACCCAUAAAAAAAUUGAAGCUUUUAAAUUAGACAAAAUUACAUAAAUGGUUCUCAUGGUUGACAAAAUCGACCAAUUAUCAUCCUUAUGACGAAUUCUUUACACAGAUGGUCACUAUGGUUUCAAAAUCUUUCAAAGACGGUCCUUUUAACUAACGAAGUUAACUUUUUCAGUUAAGUCCUAUGUGAAAUGACAUAUUUGCCCUUCAUGCAUAAGGACGCUUUAUGUAAUAUGUUUCUACCACAGGGACCAUUUAUGCCAUUUCACAUAGGACUUAACUGAAAAAGUUAACGCCGUUAAUCAAAAGGACCGUCUUUGCAAGAUUUUGAAACCACAGGGACCAUCUGUGUAAAGAAUUUGUCAUGAGGACCAUAAUUGAUCGAUUUUAUCAACCAUGAGGACCAUUUAUGUAAUUUUGUCUUUAAAUUAUAUUAAAUUCAAUAAAAAUUACUUACUUUUGGUCGAUGAAAUCAAAAAAAUUAUAGGUUUUUUAAAUUCUACUAAAUUUUGUGUCCAGGUGAAUUUCUUUGGCCAAAAACAAAAAACAAAUAUUUUAGAUUUUGUUUUUUAUGUUUUAUUAUAAAGACAAUGAAGUGUUUGAGACUUUUUAUUUAAAUUGAUAAAUAUUUUUUAACUUAUUAAUUUAUAACGGUACGAAAAUAACUUAUGUGGUGUCAAAACGCUAUAAGUUGAUUAACACUUUCUAGCGUUUGGUAAAAUGACCAAAAAAAUGUUUCAUAAAGGUAUGAGACGACUAUACAUUAUAAGGAGUUUUGAUAAGUUAAAUGGAGUAACUUAUUAAAAAUAGUUUAUCCCUGGUUUCAUACCACUAUAAGUUGUUUCUAAAAAGCUCUUUAUCAAAUUAUUCAUUUUAACUUAUACCGAUAUGAAAUCUGUAAUAAAUUAAAAAAAAAAAAAAUCAUUUUUAAGCUUAGCCAAACACCAUCGAUAUAUCUUCUCCUAGCACCUAUUCAUCCUAACCAUUAUUCAUUAAAUCAAAAUAUAUUAUCAUCAUCUCUCCCACACCCCGCCCGUCCAUGUAUCCACAACACACUAGGGAUGAAACUGGGUUCAAACCCAGACCAAAUGGACCUAGACCUGGAAAACCCAGAAUCGAUUAAUGGAAUUUUGUAGAACCGGAAAUUGGACUGGUAUAUAGGAACCAGUUCCGGGUACGGUACCGGGUAAAAUGUGUCUAGAACCGGAAAACCCAAAAACAUCAAAGUGAGUAGGUUGGAACCGAAUAAAGUGAGUUUAAAACCAAAAACCUAAAAAAAACCGAAAUUUUUUUGGCAGUUACUUACUACUUAAUGGGUUGAACUCUGAAAAUUUUCAUAUUGAUAUCUCAAAUUCGAGGGACUGUAAGUCAUUGAAUAUGAAACUAAAAUUGACAAAAUUAUAGUCUAAAAUCAUGUACAAACUCUAAACUACACUCCGGGAAAACCCGCAUGUCAAUCCGACUUGAAACGAAUGAGAUAUGCAUGUGUUAAUGUUUUCACAUAAUACAAAGUACUAAAACAAAUAGCUGAAAAGUUGAAAAUUUUCAGCUUUGAUAUCCCGACUUCGGAGGAUUGUAAGUCAUUGAAUAUUAAACAAAAAAUAAAAAAUUAUAUUCUAAAAUCAUGUACAAACUCUAAACUAAAAGUUGGAAAAACUUCAUGUUAAUCCGGCUUCAAACAAAUUAGAUAUGUAUGUUUUAAAACUUUCACAGAACACAAAAAGUUGAAAAACAAAAAACUUAUAGCUUUGAUAACUCGACUUUAGGUGACUAUAAAUCAAUGAAUAUAAAACUAAAAAUGACAAAUUUAUAGUCUAAAAUCAUGUAUAAACUCUAAAAUACACAUUGGAAAAAAUAUGUAUGUCAAUCCGACUUAAAACGAAGGAGAUAUGCGUGUUUUAAACGUUUCACAGAAACCAGAUCCGACCUCUAAAAGUGGUUCUAGUUCCGGUUCUAGGACCCGACGGACCCAAACCCGGGCUACCCGAAACCCGGAUAAAGCUAAUUUUUAAGUCCUUAACCGAAACCGAUUCUAAAUAUUUCGGUUCUAAGGAUUCUGGUUCCGGUUUUAAAUCUCAUCCCUACAACACGCCCCACUGUAACACCCACACAUGUACACACACCCUCUUGCCCAACCCCAAAUGUUAUUUAGAGGGGUGUGUCUUCAAGUUACAAACAAGGGAAAUUGAGUAAUCUAAUUAUUUGAAAAAAAAAACAAUUUUUAGCAAAAAUAACCAUUUUGUCCGAAAUAGACAUUCCAGAAUAAGAAAAAACACGUUUUUUGACUAAUUCUGGACUACGGUUCACAUUUCGGACUAAAAAUUCGAAUUUUAGGGGAAAACUAUUAUAAUUUCAAGAACAAGUCUGAAAAUCCGAAGAACAAUUUCGGAAUUUCGAGAAAAAACCGUUUUUACUUAAAUUUAACAAAAUGUUAAACAAAUACAGUAAAUAUGGCUAUAUAUUCAACAAUUAUAAUGGCGCUAUUUUUUUUUCUUUCAAAAAAGUCACUCAUAAUUUUAAACGGUUUUAGAAAAAAAAAAAAAAAUUCAUAUUUAAAUAAAUAUUUAAAAAAAUAAGAUUUUUAACUUUUUUCUUCAGAGUAUUAACGUAAUUUUUUACCAUGAAACACAAUUUCUUAAUAGCUAUGGGAGUGAAUGACUUAUUUUUUUUGUUAAAACUACAUAAGAUUGGAAAUUUUGAUUUUUUAUUUUGGAAAAUACCAAACCAAUUGUUUUUUAUUUUGAUUUUGGUUUUUCAAUAUUUUUUUAAUAUUUUAUUUGGGGUUUUGUUUUGUUUUGUUUUUUUUUAUUUUUUUUUUAUUUAUUAAUUUAGUAAAACAUAAUACAAGAGGAAGUUUGUUCACAUUUAGUCAUUGAAUUUUCUUUAAAGGGAAACGAACUUUCAACUUUGUUCAUAUUUAAUCACUAAAAUUUUUUACAUUCUUUAUUUAUCACUGAACUAUUGAAAUUGUUCACAUUUUACUCUUAUGAACAAAGUCAUUAUCCUUAUUGAAAAACAAUGAUAUUAAACCCUUAUAAAUAGACAUUUCAGACAUAAUUGAUGAUAUUAAAAAAAAAAUGGGAAAAAACCAAAAAACAAUUCCGAAAUUUGAAGAUCAAACUCGGAUGGAGCAUUUCGGAAUAGAUCAUUCUUUGAAAAAAUUGAAAAGUAGUUUGGAAUGUGAACAAUAUUUGUAAACCAGGCGUAUUUUAGGUGCAAUAGAAAAACCUUAAAAAAUGGUUAGAUUACUUAAUUUCCCUAUUUUAGGUUCACUAAAGUUCUUAUGGCUUUUGUAAAAUGUUGAUGCCGUGAAAGUAUCCGUUGAGAAAGGACAUGCACUUUUUGGUAUCAUAGACUCCUAAUUAAUAUGGAAUUUUACUAGAGGUGUUGAUAACGGUGCAUAUAUUGCUCAUAUCUCUAAGGAAUCAGGAACCAUGUGUAUUAACUAUAAAAGACUUAAUUUGGUUAGAUCAACAUUGGGAACCUUUAUGAUUCAUAAAGACAUUCUACCAAAAAAAAAAAAAUUGUAAGAAAUUCCAAGGUUAUUGGUCAACUAGGAAAAGGAUGGAUGAUUACUGGAAUCCCGAUUUCAAGAUGGUUAGGUGAUCAACAUUCAUCAAUGUUAGCUUAACCUUUAUAGGAAAGGACUGAGAAAAGGCACUUAAGGAGCAACUGUUUAUAUACUUUUUAACAUAGGUUGGGAUGUGCUUGAUUUGAAACAUGGUUUGUUGACCACUUCAACUUCAAAGUUUGGGAAGAUGUGCCUACAAACUGUGCUCUAGAGGACCCAAAUGCUAUUGCUGGAGCAGUUGUUCAACUACUCAACCGUUGGUGUUUACUUGUGAGGAAUGACAUGACAAAUAAAUAAUUUUCCAUCCUUUUUGUACCAUAAAUCAAUGUAAGUUUAUUAAAGCGGAGAAAUAGGUGUAAGUUCUAGUAACUUGUUCAAUUUUGCAACCUACCAUAAAUCAAAUUAUUUUGCGUCAUAAAAGAGAUGUAGAAACACUUAAAUCACUAGAAUCUUCUAAUGCAUCAUCUGACGUAUAUAAUUAUACUAGUUGUAAAACUCAUGUAUUACAUGAGUUAAUUUAAAGAAGAAAAAGUUAAAUAUAAAAGUCAAAAUAUUUGAGAACUUUGAAUUUAUAAUAAAAUAAAAAAAAUAAUGAAUUAUCAUAAUUGAAAUAUUUUUAUAUUUUAAAUUUAAACAAAUAAUUUAUAUAAACAAACAAAAGAAACUAAUAACCUUUAAUUUGAAAUUUUUGAAAUUAAAAGGUAAGUUCCUUAAUGAAUUGAUAUCCAUUUAUUGCAAUUAUUACAUUAAAAUAUUAUAUGAAAAUUAAUAAAAUAAAAAAACUCAUAAAAUGACAUGUGAAAAAAAAUAAUUCAAAAUAACUAUAAAGUGACAUUUGGCAAAUUGAAUGAGAGCGUGACAUGUGGAAAAAAAAACUUAGUAGAUAGAAAAACAUAGAAAUAUGAAUACAUAUGGAAACAAGUUUGCAUUUAUUCUAUCACAAAUUCUUAAAGAGGUCCUAGCUACAGAAGAUCAUAGAAGGCUUCCAUACUAAAUCAUAAAGGAAGUAAUAACAUGUAUAUAUACAAUCUUCAACCCAGUCUAGCCACCUUCUACGCCACCGAGGAUUGGUAUAAAGUAUUGCAACAAAUCCCAAUAAGAACACAAAACAUGUCGAACUAGAACUUCCAUAGAAAUAUGUCAUAUCAAUAUCAUACCAUUUCUCAUGGUCUUCUUCGGCUGAUGGAUUGGUCACCUGUGGAUUUGUGGUGCAUUUCUUCUCCAAUGGUGGUCCACAAAGAAGUGGAUUACCUUCAUAACUCUCCUCCGUGAAGGUACCAAACUGUGACUUCAUUUCUGGGAGUCUGCCUGAGAGACUGUUGUGAGAAACAUUGAAAAUAGACAAGGAGGUAAGCUUAAUGAGUUCUGAUGGAAUUGUGUUGGUCAAACCAUUUGAAGAAAGGUCCAAGCUCUCUAUCUUUGCAAGAUUUGAGAAGCUCACUGGAAUGAGUCCAAUUAGUUGAUUGUGAGACAGGUUUAAAGCACGAAGUUGGGUUAAAAACCCGACUUCUUCUGGAAUUUCACCUGUAAGUUUGUUAUUAGAUAAAUCCAAUCCCGUCAUGUAAUCAAGGAUGCCACCCUUGUAGCGGAGAAAGAGACUUUUCGUUGUAUACUGUACUUCGUCUUGUAUUCCCAAGGCUUCACCGCCAAGGAAGAUUGUACGCAACCCCCAUAUAAUACUCUCAUAAUGGUAAGAGGAAUCAUACGAAUACAAUGAUUUGCUUCUUUUUAAGAAAACAAGGUCACUUGGGCCGGUAAUAUUAUGUAGGCAGCUAGGUAUUGAGCCAGAAAAUGAGUUAGCGGAUAAGUCUAUGAAACUCAUAUUACUUAAUUGACACAACUGCCUCGGAAUAAAACCGUUAAAGUUAUUUUUUCUCAAAAGAAGAAUCCUUAAAUUGGAUAGUUCGCCAAGAAAUUUAGGAAUCCUGCCUGACAAGUUGUUGCCGAUGUCUAAAGUCAAAACAUUAGUCAAAUUACGAAAGAAAUUGGGUAUUGAUCCAGUGAAUCUGUUGGAACCCAAAUGAAGAUGCUCCAUAUAUUGCAAAUUUGAGCAGGAUGGGAUGGGCCCAGAAAAAGAAUUUUGUGAGAUAUCAAGAAAUGAGAAAAAAGCUGCUCCGCAAGGAAACCUGCCUUCCAAACUAUUAUUUCUCACCACAAGUUCAGACAAGCUACUCAUGUUGGUAAGCCAAUCCGGGAUCAAACCUGUAAAAAAGUUAUUGCUUAUAUCCAGAAGAGUCAGAGAUUCAAAUUUUUGUUUGCUUUUAAUUCCAAUUUGCCCUGUGAAAUGGUUGCUAUCUAAAUAAACCCAUUGGAGAGUACUCCAACUUAAAUUUCCUGCGAGUAUCUGGCCAUGCAACUUGUUGUUUGAUAGUUUUAAGAAACCCAAUUUGGAGGUGUUUGUAAACAAUCCCUUUGGCACUUCACCAGAUAACGCAUUCUCAGAUAAAUCUAGUACCCAUAAUUUACUCAAUUCACCAACUGAGGAAGGGAUAACACCACUUAAAGCAUUCAUAGACAAAUUCAAAAUACUUAUGUUGGGAAAAAACUUUGGUAUGUCAUAUGGAAUAGUACCUAUCAUGUGAUUUUGAGACACAUCCAACCACUUCAUAUUAGCAUUCAUAUGCAGUGGCAUACCACCAAACAAGUUAUCACGUAGAAUAAGAACUUCCAGAUUCGAAUUGUUCCUAAUUAACCAAUUUGGUAAUUGUCCCUCCAAGGAGUUGUGAGACAUGUCUACUUGUCGUAAAUUGUGUUGGUGAAGUAGAAACCCAGGAAUAAUACGUCCUUUAGGCAUUUUCAUAUUACAAUUAGAUAGCUCAAGAAUUUUCAACUGGAACAUUGGAAUCCAAUCUAUAGGCUCCUCUGUUUCCACCUCAAAUAUGUCAUUGUCACUUCUGAAUCGUAUUGUUUUCAAUCAACCAAUUUGGAAAAUCCCCCUCCAAGGAGUUGUGGGACAUAUCUAAUUCUAGUAACUUGUGUUGGUGAAGUAGAAACCCCGGAACAAGAUGUCCUUUAUGAAAAUUCAUAUUGGAAUUAGAUAGAGCAAGAACUUUCAACUGAAACUUUGGAAUCCAAUCUAUAGCCUCUUCUGUUUCCACCUCAAACCUGUCAUUGUCGCUUCUAAAUCGAACUACCUCAAGCUUUGUAAGAUUGCAGAAAUAGCUGAAUGAGAAUGAACCUUCAAAUAUGUUAUGACUAAAAUCAA